RNAcentral lists this long non-coding RNA (69711 nucleotides) under Triticum aestivum (bread wheat). Its description in RNAcentral is "long non-coding RNA (TAES_LNC020160)". Lineage: Eukaryota; Viridiplantae; Streptophyta; Magnoliopsida; Poales; Poaceae. The record is from RNAcentral.
CUGUGACACGAGGUUGGUGUAGUAGGCGUUGUCGAACGUGUUGGCCGUCGUCGUGUCGAGGUUCGCCAGGCUGCCGUCGCCGCCGGACCGGGGGCAGUUGGCCCGGAGAGAUGUGGCGAAGGUCGUGUCGAUGUUAGUCUCGUUGUAGAUCCUGUCCUUGAAGGUCCCGCACUGCGCCUGGCCGAUGGUGUGCGCGCCGGAGAGGGCCACCAUGUCGACCGUAAGGAGGCCCUUGUUGCUGAAUGCCAGCUCAAGAUCUGACCGGCUAGACGUAGGGCCUGGGAGGUCGCUGUUUGCCGCCGCCUCGUUUGCAUCUAUGGAAUCCCUUCUUCCCAGAGGGACUGUCCAUGAUGGCCCUCCGAGCUGCACGCGAAGGAUACGAAGAAAACGGUUAACGAUGGCAUCCAAUCGAUGAUGUACACGAUCGUAAGAUGAUAUUCUUACGGCGACAACGGAGUCACGGGCAGCGACGGUGAGGAUGUCGGCGCAGGAGACGGUCUGGGCGCAGAUGGCCUCGAUCUGUGUCUUGAUGCUGUCGAUGACGCCGAAGCCCCGCAGUGACCCGUUGUUCGGGAGAGCGUUUUGUUCCAUGCCAGAAAGCAGAACAGACGCGUCACAGCCCUGCACAUCACAUGCUUAUAGUGUUUAGCAAGCAAAACCUAUACAAAACAGGGUACGUGACGGCUAUCGGGAUAUGCAUGCAUGCAUGUGGCCAACUUACUUGGACGAAGCAGUCGUGGAAGUGCAGCCGGAGCAGCGACGCGCCCAUCCGAGGAUCGCUGCUCACGGCGGCCAUGACGCCGCUCUUGAUGGUGGCCAGGGCCCUUGUGCAGGAUGUGUCGUAGAACGUCGGCGACAGCUGCCCCGACACCACGGCGGCCAGAGCCACGAGCACCACCAGAGAAAGGUAAGAGGCAGAGGCGGCCAUGGUUAGCUAGCUAGCUACAAGAGCAAAGCUACGCCGGCUUACUAGCUACCUGGUGGUGGUGGAGUGGUGGUGCUUAGUGGAUUGUGCAAGAGAGUGGUGCAUCGCAUGCAUAUUUAUAGACAAAGAUUUAGCUCACGUGCACCUGCAGAUCGAUCCCGGUCAGCUCAUCCAAAAUUUAGGUCCCAUUAGUCCAACGUUAGUCUCCGACACCUGUUCGAUCGGGUAUACCGCGAGCUUCCUGCUUGAGCGAUCUCUCUUGGCGUAUUCAAGGCAGCUUCCAGCUUGAGCCGCUACCGCCAACACCAACACCUGAAUUUUCCUUGCAACAGGGCCAACUUGAGCGAUCUCUCUUGGCGUUUAUCACGCAAAAAUCGGCAAAACAUGGAACGAUCUCUCUUUUUUCAUCAUUUCCAUGCUAGCGGGCGCCUGGAGCCAUGUGUGCGUGGACACCAACCAUUUGACCUUACGUACGAAUAGUGGUGGGGAGUCGGCGUUGUUCCAAGGCGAUUCACGCUCGUUUUGACCGGUGCGCAGUCAUCUUGCGCUCCCGUCGCCUUCGGCCAACACGAGAUAAUUCGGCAGCUGAGACAGUACUGAGAGGAAAGAUCUAAAAAAACAAUCAUUUCAUAGCCUUUUCCGAGCUUCUGAGAGGAAAGUGAGGCCAAGCCCGGUUCGACUGCCGGGUUGCCCACGCCCAGGGGCGGAGCCAGGAUUUAGGCAUAAGGGGGGCGAGAACGAUAAUAAUCGUUUCUGAUACACACAACACACACAAAAAAAAUAGUCUCAAAAGUAGAAUUGAUAUGAAUGAAAAUAUAUGUUUGAUAAUAACAUGGGUUCAAAUUAUCGUGCAGAAUAGCUUGCUCCUCAAGUGGAUUUGUGUUCUAAGUAAUAUUUCGAAACAAUGAGCUUUUACAAUGAAUCUAUAUUUGUAAACAAGAAGUGAAACUAUAUUUGUAAAUUACAAUCUUACCUAAUUAGUAAAUAAAAUCAUUGAUUUGAAACAAAUUGUAAUGACUCAGGAUUACUCCCUCCGUUCUUAGAUAAAAGUCUUUAUAGAGAUUCCAUUAUAGACCACAUACGGAAUAAAAUGAGUGAAUCUAUCCUUCAAAUGCAUCUAUAUACAUCCGUACGUGGUUUAUAUUGGAAUCUUUACAAAGACUUAUAUUUAGGAACGGAAGGAAUACUAUAUACCAGAAUUCUUUCGAAGUCAAUCUGUUGAUGUGUGACGCGCUGUAGCAGACGAGUAGUUGUGAUCUCCCUCAAUUGCCCGGGAGAAUGUAGUGCCCUCUGCCAUGUGCGGCUGUGCAACAACCAGAACGGCGGAAGCAGCGGCAGGCUAUGCCGCGACUGGUGACGGCGACGGCGACGGCGGCGCAAAGACGUACGUAUGGAGGGAGAGCACAGACCUAGAAGGCAGGAACGUAAUUACGGGAAGGAUUAGGGAAUUAACUACACGAUCUCACGGCUGGAUCUGGAUGUAAUCUUUUUUUCUCACGCGUAUGUACACCUAGGGAUGCUUUGGGCCUUUGGGUUGAGAAGUUGCCAUGCUAGGCCAUUAGCGCCGCUACACACACGUAUAACUAAAACAACAGGUCAGCCAUAAUAUACGUAUAAACUACAACUACUAANNNNNNNNNNNNNNNNNNNNNNNNNNNNNNNNNNNNNNNNNNNNNNNNNNNNNNNNNNNNNNNNNNNNNNNNNNNNNNNNNNNNNNNNNNNNNNNNNNNNNNNNNNNNNNNNNNNNNNNNNNNNNNNNNNNNNNNNNNNNNNNNNNNNNNNNNNNNNNNNNNNNNNNNNNNNNNNNNNNNNNNNNNNNNNNNNNNNNNNNNNNNNNNNNNNNNNNNNNNNNNNNNNNNNNNNNNNNCCCCUGUUCGCACCCCCCUGUCUCCGCCCCUGGUCAACCCAGAACCAUGUCGCCAGACGAUCGGUCAACUUGAUACGAAUUCCAUGGUGGUCCUUGUCUGAAUCAACCGAUGGAAGAAAAUUAACUGAACCCUACUCUCCGAAUGGAAGCCCGAAGCUCAGCCUUCACCGAGUAUGUUUUUAAUUGGAAGCCUUAAUCUUGAAGAGAUCCUUUGUUUUCCUAGUACAAAUCUCUUCAUGAGUUUUUGUAUUCGCGUCCUAAAGAGGGAGAACCUCCCACUGCAAAAAUAACCAAUUCUUCAUGAUUCCUUUACGGGUGGAAGAAACCCAAACAGAUUUGAUGAAAUAAUAAUUAUUUUUAAAUCUGGGUAGCAAUCGCCAUAAACAAUUUUUUAGCUCGUGUACUGUUCCUCAAUCUACAAUGUUUCUUCAAAUCUUUACGGCCACAACAAAAUCAUCAUCCCAUCUAGUUAAGAUAUAUAAUGAUGAUGCAUUAACCCAUUUUUUGCAAAAAAUGAUGCAUUAACCUUGACCCAUAUGAAAAAAUAUUUCAACAUCGAAUAAACUCAGUUCUUAUGUAGGUGCGUUAUGACGUACACAUUUUGUCACAUGUCACUGACGGAGAAACUAGAUUUUGUCACUGAAAUUUUUUCAUUUCAUGUAUACUAAAUAAAUGUCCAUGCUACUAGUAAGUUUUUUUUGGGGUAGAAUUGGACAAUUUCAUUUGUAAAUUUUCAUAUGCAAAACUAUCUUUUAACUAAUUUUGAAAUGUUCAUGUACUUCAAAACAACGUUCAGGACUAUAAAAAAGUCCACCUCUCUCAAGAAACUGAUUAUGUAUUUUAUAAUAAAAUAUUCAUGUGUUUGAAAACAAAUAUUUACAACUUCUAAGAUAUGUUUUCACAUUCGCAUGAAUAUUUUUAUAAAACUAUCUGAAUUGUAAAUGGAAUUAGUUAAAUAACAAUGUUAAAUAUAAUACAAUUAAAAUAAAAAUGAAAUAGAAAGCAAUAUGUAAUAUUUUUAUGAAGAACCAAAUAAUAAGUGAAGUUAUAGUGAAAAAACAAAUAAUGAUGUAUAAUGUUAGUUAAAUAAUUUAUUUGCUUAGUCAAUUUUUAGAAAGUUUGAAUAAUGAAAAAACUUACAUACACUAUAAUUUGGAUAGGUGGAAGUAUGUCAAAAAAAAGUUGACGAGAUUGUUUAAAAAAACUUACAAAUAUACACUAGAAUUUAUUUUUCUAAAUAAUUUACUAAGCUUCUUUUCGAAGAGGUCUUCGAUAUUUUUUGUAUUCCUUGUUGGUGAGCUUGCGAUGAUGAAUUGGAAUCCUGAGGUACUUGAACGGUAGGAAUCUCACUUCACAACCAAAGGGUUGCUUGCAUUGACUCACCUCCUCUUUUGCCAAAUGAUCAUUUGUUUCAUAUUAUCAUUGUUUUCAUGAAGUUGUAUGAUCAAACAUGUGUUUACAAAAACAUGGUUAUGUAUUUUAGAAUAAAAAUAUAUUCACGUAAUCCCUCCAUGCUAAAUUCAGUGCAUAAUUUGUUUUCAAAAGUCAACCUUUGGAAACUUUGACAUAGUUUAUAGAAAACAUAUGAAUAUUUACAAUGCUGAAUGUCUAUCAUAUUAAGAAUUAUUUCAUGACAAAUCUCGGGUAAUGUUAUCCAGCGAACGUUCGCUGGGAUUGUACGGCAAAACCAAACGGCAAUUUAUGUGUUGGGAGCAUGGCAAUCCAUUCAAACAAACACGGCAAUUUCGCAGCAAAAUCCUCUAUUUGCCACAAGUUGCCAUGUGUUUGUGAAGAAAUUGUCAUUUUCUUCCGAAUAAUUUCCUAAAUCCUCGGGGUGGUGCCCGGUCAGGUGGCUCCCUUGAACCUCGGCCCCGUAGGCGACGGCCUCGGAAGGGUUGAUCCCGUCGAUGUUGACGGGCUCCUUACCGUCCAAGUAGUUCUUGACAAGUUGUUGCACCAUGGGGAUCCUGCUGCCACCGCCCACAAGGAUGACAUCGUGGAUGUCUCCCUUCUCCAGCUCGGCGUCCACCAGGGCCUUCUUGAACGGAGCCAUCGUCUUCUAGAAGCGGUUUUGUUGAGCUCCUCAAAUAGGUUGACACUGUCCAACAGGGCCUUGACCUCCACGCCCACCUGGUGCUGGUCGUGGUCGCUCAGCGCCCUUUUGGCACGCUCACAUUCCCGUAGCAGCCUCUGCAUCGCAUGGCCAUCGCCGGUGACAUCCCGACUGUGCUUCCGCUAGGUCAGCUCGGCAAAGUAACCCACGAGUCGCCGGUCGAAGUCGUCACCAUCGAGGUGCACAUCGCUGCGGGUCAUUAGGACAUCCAACACGCCCUCCUCGAGAGUGCUGACAUUAUCAUUUGUUUCAUGUUAUCUUUGUUUUCAUGAAGUUGUAUGAUCAAAUAUGUGUUUACAAAAAAAUGAUUAUGUAUUUUAGAAUAAAAAUAUAAUCACAUAGUCCCUUCAUGCUAAAUUCAAUGCAUAUAAUUCGUUUAUGAAAGUCAAUCUUUGGAAACUUUGACAUAGUUUAUAGAAAACGUAUGAAUAUUUACAAUACUGAAUGUAUACCAUAUUAAGAAUAUAUUUCAUGAUAAAUCUCGGGUAAUGUUAUGCAGCGAAUGUUCACUGGAAAUGUAUGGCAAAACCAAGUGUCAAUUUAUGUGUUGGGAGCAUGGCAAUCCAUUCAAACAAACACGACAAUUUCGCAGCAAAAUCCUCUAUUUGCCACAAUUUGCCAUGUGUUUCUGAAGAAAUUGACAUUUUCUUACGAAUAAUUUCCUAUGGAAAACAUUCACAAUUGCCAUGCCCCACAGCAAAACGUUCACUGGCUAUUGGGGUCCUAAAUCUAAUGGUCUUGAUCUGGUAUUAUUGUUGUCGCUAAAAUAAUUUAUGUGCUUAGUAAUUUUUAGAAAGUUUGACUACUAAAAAAAUUAUAUACAAUAUAAUUUGGAUAAGUGGAAGUAUGUCAAAAUAAAUAAAUUCAUGCAUGCAUUUGAGGAAAUUUGUCAUGUGUGCUAUAUUAUAUGAUCUUGUUAUCUCUUAGAGAAUUCAUACAUAUUUCCUCCUAAAAAGGUGAAAAAUGGGAAAAGUGAUUUCUUUUAUGAGAAUUAAGAGAAACAAAAGAUGGGAAAGAGUAGAAACGAAACAAUGAGAAAAAACAGGGGAAAAUAAUAANNNNNNNNNNNNNNNNNNNNNNNNNNNNNNNNNNNNNNNNNNNNNNNNNNNNNNNNNNNNNNNNNNNNNNNNNNNNNNNNNNNNNNNNNNNNNNNNNNNNNNNNNNNNNNNNNNNNNNNNNNNNNNNNNNNNNNNNNNNNNNNNNNNNNNNNNNNNNNNNNNNNNNNNNNNNNNNNNNNNNNNNNNNNNNNNNNNNNNNNNNNNNNNNNNNNNNNNNNNNNNNNNNNNNNNNNNNNNNNNNNNNNNNNNNNNNNNNNNNNNNNNNNNNNNNNNNNNNNNNNNNNNNNNGCUAUGUUAUACGCAGUGGGUGGUAUAUAGGAUUCGGGGAGCGCAGCACAUACGCGCCAUUUCGUGUAAUUUUCUCCUAACGUGGAAAAAAAGUGUUCUCGUACAAUAAUCGAGCACGGCCACUUCACGCCCAAUUUCACAAGAGGAGUUUACAUCUUCAUUCUGUGUACGAGUGUAAUAAGGUAGGAUUGAUAGUAAUUCUCCUUGCCUUUUGCAUGAGAAAUUGAGGAUUCAACCGUCGUUACAUACGUUGAUGCAUGCAUGAUUUGCUGCUGCACAUGCUUUGAAAAUACACGAUUCAAGUGCUGGUAUGAUAAGUGGUACUGGCCACUGUUUUGGGGGCCUUAUUCAUUCACGUGUCGUGCUGCCGACGCAUACGUCCAUCACGAGUUCACCUUGGAGCAGCUGAGCCUGAUCUGGCCCUGCGUCCCGGUGAGCGGCGCGAUGUUUCCCAUCUUGAUCAUGGCCGUCGUGAAGGCGCUGCUGAAGGCCGCCGCGUUGGACGCAAAGUUGCGGACAGUGUUGUCGGUGGUGUCGUUGUUGAAGAGCACCUGGUCCGAGUGCAGGAGCCCUUUCUGUGACAGGAGGUUGGUGUAGUAGGCGUUGUCGAACGCGUUGGGCGUCGUCGUGUCCAGGUUCGCCAGGUUGGUGUUGCCGCCGGACUGGGGGCAGUUGGCCUUGAGAGACGUCGCGAAGGCAGUGUUGAUGUUGGUGUCACCGCCGUAGAUCCGAGUCCGGAAGUUGGAGCACUGGGCCUUCCCGAUGGUGUGCGCGCCUGAGAGCGCGACCAUGUCGACCGUGUUAAGGUUCUUCUUGAGGAACGCGGCCUCGAGCUGUGACCGGCUAGAGCUCGGGCCAGGGAGGUCACUGUUCGCCAGCGAGGCACUUGCGGUGGUGGAGUCCCGUCUCCCCAGCGGGACAGUCCACGAUGGCCCUCCAAGCUGUAUGUGAAAGAUAGCAGACCAAGUAGGAAAUUAAGUAUGUACUAAAUCAGCGACAAUUUAUAUGAAUCGGAGGGGAUAUAUGUUCUAUCCUUCAGGUAGCAUCGAUCAUGUAAAUGAGUGUAGUACUAAGAUGUUCUUACAGCGACAACGGAGUCGCGGGCGGCGACGGUGAGGAUGUCGGCGCAGGAGACGGUCUGCUUGCAUAUACUCUCCAGCUGGGUCUUGAUGUUGUCGAUGACGCCGAAGCCCCUCAGCGACCCCACGUUCGGACCCGCGUUUUGUUCCAUGCCAGACAGAAGAACAGAUGCGUCACAGCCCUGUAGCCAACAUAAACGUAUUAGGUCGGAAUAUAAAUUUUGUUAAAUCCGGGAGUUCAAGAAAGUUGGUUAAGGGAAAAAGAGCUGAUAUAUUAUGUGAAACUUGCUUGGACAAAGCAGUCGUGGAAGUGCAGCCUGAGCAGGGAGGCGCCCAUGCGGGGGUCGCUGCUCACGGCGGCCGCCACGCCGCUCUUGAUGGUGGCCAGAGCCCUGGGGCACGACGUGUCGUAGAACGUCGACGACAGCUGCCCGGACGCCGCCGUGGCCAGAGCCACGAGCACCACCAGAGAAAUGCGAGAGGCAGAACCCAUGGCCAUGGUUAGCUACCUAGCUACAAGCCCAGAGCUAUGCGUGCUACCUGCACUUGUUAUCUGGUUGUGGCUGUGGCUGUGGCUGUGGCUUGCAAGAUAACGCAGUAUUUCAUGCAUAUUUAUAGGGAAAAUUUGAGCUCACGUGCAGCUGCACAUCAGUCCCCGUCUCCCAGUUGGGAGAAAGCAUCCAAAUUUUAUGUCUGAUUAGUCUAGCAAGCAUCCAAAACAGAUGGUCGAUUGGUCUAUGAUGGCUGACGAUCGACGUCGACCCGGCAUCCACGAUCUGCCCAGCGCCGUCGUCUGGCCAGCUAGAUGUUGGAUAGGGAAUACGGGUACUGACAAACCCGCCGAUUUUUUAGAAGGGUCAGACGCUUGCAUCCAAGUGUGGCAACCUCCAGCUUAAGCGCUUAAAUCGCUACGGCCAACACCGGCCCUACAUAUUUUCCCCCGGCAAUAGGGCAUAUCAUGUACUCGAAUAAUUUCCCGUGAUCUGCCUUGGCCUUAUCAUGUAUCCGUUAGGUGCCCGUGGGGGAGAGAAACGUAUAUCUGUGAAUCAAUAAUGGCAUACAGCAUCUCAUAAUAAUGUUCAUUGUUUUUGAUAUAGCUUACCACUGUUGCCAAAUGGUUCAUCUCAUAAUAAUGGAGUAAUAUAUUCUUCAUCAUUUUUUUAGGUAUAGCUAUGGUCGUGAACCUGCUUUGAGGGAAUAUAAGAUUGUUAGGCUUUUCAAUUGUAAAUAAACUUAACAUGCUUUUUUUGUCAAGUGACUCCGGGCCGGCAAAACAAGUGUUAUUGCGUCAUAGGCUCAUAGCCCCGCUACAUGAGCAUUUCGUCCUACGAUCAGGCCCAGCUGAAGAGCAACAGAUGUUUUAUAAGAGGUUUUGAAUCAUCGAUCACGUCAAAAGAAUAACCUUACACGAUACCAUCGCCUUUAAAUUCAUGAUGUGUCUCCACUCCCGCAACUAACCUGCGGGUAAUUAAACCCCAACACAAAUUUCACUUUGCACGGUAAAAGAGCUAACAUGCACUCUACUAUCGGAGUAAACAGGAGCAUACGUCCACAUGCACCAUACAUAGGUUCAUCUCCAACUACAUGGAACGAGCUCCAUGGAUGCUAUUGCAGAUGGUGAUACAGCCCGAGCCUGAAGCUACGCAUGGACGCACCAUUUGACCUAGCUAAUACUCAUUUCGUUCCAAAAUGAGUGUCUCAACUUUAUAUUAUUAUAGUAUAAAGUUAUAUUAAGUUUGAGGCACUUAUUUUGAGACGGAGUGAGUAGUAAGGAGUCCGCUUCUGUCCAAGUUAAUUCAGCCUCGCUUUGACCGCAGCGCAUCAUCUUGCGCACAGGUUGUGUUCGAUGAAAGUGACACGAUGCGAUUCAGCAGUGGCAGUUUCUUUCAUGCUCUGUACUACAGUUGAGAGGGACUUGGCUCAUACGCAGGCCUGCGAGGAAACAGUUUGGGUCAAAUCAUCCUCUAGCCGCACGCCAUUUGGGCUUCUUCUGUUCCCUUGGUGUUGUUGUUGGGUGCGUCUAAAUGUCGCCUACUACAUGCGACUCACCUCCAGCAUUCUAUAUGGGCCCGCCCAGCAGCAUGAGGCCUUGAGGCGUGCCUAGUUCGAGCGCACAAGUCUCACAAUCACUUUCGCUCAAAAACAAACGAGCAGCACGUUAAGUCACAAUAAAAAAUGUUACAAUUUUUAUCUAAAAUAACUUAAGGCACAAUUUUAUUUCUAUUUUUCUGUCUUUUUUUCAAACACAAUACAACACAGAUGUUCCGGUAAGUGUGUCUGAGUAAAUGAAAAACUGACCAAAAGUGGUUGGCGGGUCCCAGCCACUUUCCUCACAUAUUACAAAUACGGGCAGUUUUGCAGGCACAAUACAUCUGAUAUACAAGGACGUGGGCCAGCACUAACACGAAUCGCGGAGUAAACGGCCGGUCUAGGAUCUACCAGUACAUGACGGAACCGCGCAAUAUGACUUUGCAGGCAUAUCAUGUACUCGAAUAAUUUUCCAUGGUCUGCCUUGGCCUUAUCAUGUAUCCGUUAAGUGCCUCAGGGAGAGAGAAACAUAUAUCUGCGAAUCAAUAAUGGCAUACAACAUCUCAUAAUAAUGUUCAUUGUUUUAUUUUGAUAUAGCUUACCACUCUUGCCAAGUGGUUCACCACGUAAUAAUGGAGUAAUAUAUUCUUCAUAAUUGUUUUUUAGGUACAGGUGUGGUGGUAAACCUGCUGUGAGGGAAUAUAAGAUUGUCAGGCUUUUCAAUUGUAAACAAACUUAACAUGCUUUUUUGUCAAGCGACUCCGGACCGGCAAACCUGUGUUAUGCGUCGUAGCUAGGCUCAUAGCCCCGCUACACCAGCAUUUCGUCCUCCUAUCAUGCCUAACUAAAGAGCAACAGAUGUUUUAUAAGAGGUUUUGAAUCAUCACGUCAAAAGAAUACCCUUACGGGAGAGGAUACCUUCGCCUUUAAAUUCAUGAUGUGUCUCCUCUCCCGCAACUACCAUGGGUAAUUAAACCCAACACAAAUUUUCACUUUGCACCAUAAAAGAGCUAACGUGUACUCUACUACGGGAGUACACAGGAACAUACGUCCACACGCACGAUCCAUACAUUGGUUCAUCUCCAAUUGGAUGGAACGAGCUCCAUGCAUGCUAUUGCAGAUGGGGAUACAGCCCGGAGCUAUGCAUGGAUGCACCGUUUCGCCUAACUAACGUAGGGAGUCCGCUUCUGUUCAAGGCAAUUCAGCAUCAAUUUGACCACAGCGCCGUCAUCUUGCGCACAGUCGUGUUUCAAUGAAAGUGACACGAUUCCAUUCAGCAGUGUGACAGUUUCUUUCAUGCUCUGUAUUGCAGUAGAGGGGGUUGACCUUCUUUUCGAAAAAAAGAAAAGUAGAAGGGCACUCGGUUCGACGCAUGCCUGCGACGAAACAGUUUGGGCCAAAUCAUUCUCUAGCUGCACUUGGGCUUCUUCCGUCUGCUGGGUGUUGUUGUUGGGUGCGUCCAAAUGUCGCCUAACAUGCGACUCGCCUCCAGCGUUCUACACGGGGCGGCCCCAGCAUGAGGCCUUGAGGCGUGUGUAGUUCCAGCGCACAAGCCUCACGUUCGCUUUCGCUAAAAAACAAACGAACAGCACAUUAAGUCACAAUAAAAAAAGUCCCAUCAAAACAAAAAAAGUCACAAUAAAAAAGUUACAAUUUUUAUCUAAAAGAACUUAAGGCACAAUGUUAUUUCUAUUUUUCUGUCUUUUCUCAAACAAAAUGCAACAGAUGCUCACAUGUUAUUUCUGUACUUUCAGAAAUGCCAUUCUGACCAGCCGCUAAUGGAGUGUAGUGCCAAGUGCGAGAGCAUAAUGUUUUUAUUGCAUAGUAAUUUUAAUCUCCUAGGCCUACUAGUCCAUUCUGACGAACGAACAAGUGAUUACAAAUUGACUUUUGAUCAAUGAAAUGCAUGCAUGUCUGCCCUUUUAUCGCAUUGACCCUUUUAUCUGGAGGUUGGGUAUAACAUUUUCCAGUUGUAUCGCGUUGACCCUUUUAUUGAAAAAAGAGAGUAUGAGACAUGGCAAUCAAUUGCAAUCACGAUUAAACUGUAAUAAAAUAAAGACAAUAACUUUAGAAGCACCACGUUUAAUGCCUCUAUCAUGUAAAACUGACAUUGUGAUUGUUAUGUGGCUAUGUGUGGCUAUUUAGCUAGUACUACCUCUAAGCGAUGAAUUGAUUAAUUAAUAAUCACUAGCAAAAGAGCCUGUACGUUGCAAUUGGAGAAAAAUUGCACACGCUCUUAACCCCGUAACCAUCAUUCAAGACCACAAUAGGUCCACGUCGUUUUUUUAGGGGGGGGGGGGGCAUCACAUUUGUUCUGCCGCUUAUCCUCCUUCUCAACCUCGCUGGCGGUGCGCUCAAGGUUCACACAAACCAAAAUGUGUUUGAAUGUGGUUUAGUCCUAAGAUCUCUCGUGCACGCGCGGUGAGAAAUCUUUUGUUUUUUUCCUCUACAUCAACACCAUAGCCUCUCCGAUGAAGUGUGAGUACCUCAGACCUUCGGGUCCAUAGUUAUUAGCUAGAUGGCUUCUUCUCUCUUUUUGGAUCUCAAUACAAUGUUCUCCCCCUCUCUUAUGGAGAUCUAUUCGAUGUAAUCUUCUCUUUGCGGCGUGUUUGUUGAGACCGAUGAAUUGUGGGUUUAUGAUCAAGAUUACCUAUGACCAAUAUUUGAAUCUUCUCUGAAUUCUUUUAUGUAUGAUUGGUUAUCUUUGCAAGUCUCUUCGAAUUAUCAGUUUGGUUUGGCCUACUAGAUUGAUCUUUCUUGCAAUGGGAGAAGUGCUUAGCUUUGGGUUCAAUCUUGCGGUGUACUUUCCCAAUGACAGUAGGGGCAGCAAGGCACGUAUUGUAUUGUUGCCAUCGAGGAUAACAAGAUGGGGUUUUCAUCAUAUUGCAUGAGUUUAUCCCUCUACAUCAUGUCACCUUGCUUAAGGCGUUACUCUGUUUUCAUGAACUUAAUACUCUAGAUGCAUGCUGGAUAGCGGUCGAUGAGUGGAGUAAUAGUAGUAGAUGCAGGCAGGAGUCGGUCUACUUGUCUUGGACGUGAUGCCUAUAUACAUGAUCAUACCUAGUAUUCUCAUAACUAUGCUCAAUUCUGUCAAUUGCUCAAUAGUAAUUCGUUCACCCACCGUAAAAUACUUAUUCUCUUGAGAGAAGCCACUAGUGAAACCUAUGGCCCCCGGGUCUAUCUUCAUCAUAUUAAUCUUCCAAUACUUAGUUAUUUCCUUUGCUUUUUUACUUUGCUUUUAUUUUACUUUGCAUCUUUAUCACAAAAAUACCAAAAAUAGUAUCUUAUCAUAUCUAUCAGAUCUCACUCUCGUAAGUGACCGUGAAGGGACUGACAACCCCUUAUCGCGUUGGUUGCGAGGAGUUAUUUGCUUUGUGCAGGUACGAGGGACUCGCGCGUAGCCUCCUACUGGAUUGAUACCUUGGUUCCCAAAAACUUAGGGAAAUACUUACGCCACUUUGCUGCAUCAUCCUUUCCUCUUCAAGGAAAUCCAACGCAGUGCUCAAGAGGUAGCAAGAAGAAUUUCUGGCGCCGUUGCCGGGGAGUCUACGCAAAAGUCAACAUACCAAGUACCCAUCACAACCCUUAUCUCCCGCAUUACAUUAUUUGUCAUUUGCCUCUCGUUUUCCUCUCCCCCACUUCACCCUUGUCGUUUUAUUCGCCCUCUCUCUCUCUAUCCUCCCUCUCUUUCUCUAUUUACCUCUUUUUGCCCGCUUGCUUUUUGUUUGCUUGUGUGUUGAAUUGCUUGCUUGUCACGAUGGCUCAAGAUAACACUAAAUUGUGUGACUUUACCAAUACCAACAACAAUGAUUUUAUUAGCACUCCGAUUGCUCCUCUUACCGAUGCUGAAUCUUGUGAAAUUAAUGCCGCUUUGCUGAAUCUUGUUAUGAAAGAUCCGUUUUCCGGCCUUCCUAGUGAAGAUGUCGCUAGCCAUCUAAAUAUCUUCGUUGAUUUGUGUGAUAUGCAAAAGAAGAAAGAUGUGGAUAAUGAUAUUGUUAAAUUGAAGCUAUUUCCUUUUUCGCUUAGAGAUCGUGCUAAAGCUUAGUUUUCGUCUUUGCCUAAAAAUAGUAUUGAUUCUUGGAACAAGUGCAAAGAUGCUUUUAUCUCUAAGUAUUUUCCUCCCGCUAAGAUCAUCUCGCUUAGAAACGAUAUUAUGAAUUUUAAGCAACUUGAUCAUGAACAUGUUGCACAAGCUUGGGAGAGGAUGAAAUUAAUGAUACGUAAUUGCCCUACUCAUGGUUUGAAUUUGUGGAUGAUUAUACAAUUUUUUUAUGCCAGAUUGAAUUUUGCUUCUAGAAAUCUUUUAGAUUCGGCCGCGGGAGGCACUUUUAUGGAAAUCAAUUUAGGAUAAGCUACUAAACUCCUAGAUAAUAUUAUGGUUAAUUAUUCCCAAUGGCAUACUGAAAGAUCUACUAAUAAAAAGGUGCAUGCGAUAGAAGAAAUUAAUGUUUUGAGUGGAAAGAUGGAUGAACUUAUGAAAUUAUUUGCUAGUAAAAGUGUUUCUUCUGAUCCUAAUGAUAUGCCCUUGUCUACUUUGAUUGAGAAUAAUAAUGAAUCUAUGGAUGUGAAUUUUGUUGGUAGGAACAAUUUUGGUAACAACGCGUAUAGAGGAAAUUUUAAUCCCAGGCCUUAUCCUAGUAAUUCCUAUAGCAAUUCUUAUAUAAAUUAUAAUAAGAUGCCCUCUGAUUUUGAAUCUAAUAUUAAAGAAAUUAUUACUUUGCAAAAGAAUUUCAAUGCUUUGAUUGAAGAAAAAUUGCUUAAGAUUGAUGAGUUGGCUAGGAACGUUGAUAGAAUUUCUCUUGAUGUUGAUUCUUUGAAACUUAGAUCUAUUCCUCCUAAGCAUCAUAUCAAUGAGUCUCUCAAAGCUAUGAGAAUUUCCAUUGAUGAGUGCAAAGAAAGAACCGCUAGGAUGCGUGCUAAGAAAGAUGCCUUUAUAAGAGCGUGUUCUUCUAGUUCCUAUGAAAAUAAAGAUGAAGAUCUAAAAGUUAUUGAUGUGUCCCCUAUUAAAUCUUUGUUUUGCAAUAUGAAUCUUGAUAAUGAUGGGACUGAAUAUGAUCCACCUUUACCUAGAAGGCAUUCCAAAAAUUCGGAGUUUUUAGAUCUUAAUGCUAAAUUUGAUAAAAGUGGGAUUGAAGAAAUUAAAACCCUAGAUGUUGCUAAACCCAUUAUUUUGGAUUUAAAGGAAUUUAAUUAUGAAAAUUGCUCUUUGAUUGAUUGUAUUUCCUUGUUGCAAUCUGUGCUAAAUUCUCCUCAUGCUUAUAGUCAAAACAAAGCGUUUACUAAACAUAUUGUUGAUGCCUUGAUGCAAUCUUAUGAAGAAAAACUUGAGUUGAAAGUUUCUAUCCCUAGAAAACUUUAUGAUGAGUGGGAACAAACUAUUAAAAUUAAGAUUAAAGAUCAUGAGUUCUAUGCUUUAUGUGAUUUGGGUGCUAGUGUUUGCACGAUUCCAAAGACUUUGUGUGAUUUGUUAGAUUUCCGUGAUUUUGAUGAUUGCUCUUUAAACUUGCACCUUGCGGAUUCCACUAUUAAGAAACCUAUGGGAAGAAUUGAUGAUGUUCUAAUUGUCGCAAAUAGGAAUUAUGUGCCCGUAGAUUUUAUUGUUCUUGUCAUAGAUUGCAAUCCUUCAUGUCCUAUUAUUCCGUGUAGACCUUUCCUUAGAACGAUUGGUGCGAUUAUUGAUAUGAAGGAAGGAAAUAUUAGAUUCCAAUUUCCGUUAAAGAAAGGCAUGGAACACUUUCCUAGAAAGAAAAUUAAAUUACCUUAUGAAUCUAUUAUGAGAGCCACUUAUGGAUUGCCUACCAAAGAUGGCAAUACCUAGAUCUAUUCUUGCUUUUUAUGCUUAGCUAGGGGCGUUAAACGAUAGCGCUUGUUGGGAGGCAACCCAAUUUUAUUUUUAUUCCUUGCCUUUUGCUCCUGUUUAGUAAUAAAUAAUUUAACUAGCCUCUAUUUUGGUUGUGUUUUUUGUGUUUAAUUAGUGUUUGUGCCAAGUAGAACCGUUGGGAAGACUUGGGGAAAGUCUUGCUAAUCUUGCUGUAAAAAGCAGAAACUUUAGCGCUCACGAGAACUGAUGCCAUUUUUAUUUGGAAAGUUAUAUUUAGUUAAUUAUUUUUUAAUAUGAUUAAUAGAUAAAUUCCUCACGUCCAGCAAUUUAUUUUAAAAUUUUUGGGGUUACAGAUCUUGCACUAGCUACAGAUUACUACAGACUGUUCUGUUUUUGACAGAUUCUGUUUUUCGUGUGUUGUUUGCUUAUUUUGAUGAAUCUAUGGCUAGUAAAAUAGUUUAUAAACCAUAGAGAAGUUGGAAUACAGUAGGUCUAACACCAAUAUAAAUAAAGAAUGAGUUCAUUAUAGUACCUUGAAGUGGUCUUUUGUUUUCUUUCGCUAAUGGAGCUCACAAGAUUUUCUACCUUAAGUUUUGUGUUGUGAAGUUUUCAAGUUUUGGGUAAAGAUUUGAUGGACUAUGGAACAAGGAGUGGAAAGAGCCUAAGAUUGGGGAUGACCAUGGGACCCCCAAGAUAAUCUAAGGACACCUAAAAUCCAAAGCUUGGGGAUGCCCCGGAAGGCAUCCCCUCUUUCGUCUACUUCUAUAGAUAACUUUACUUGGAGCUAUAUUUUUAUUCACCACAUGAUAUGUGUUUUAACAGGAGCGUCUUGUAUUAUUUGAGUCUUUAUUUGUUAGUUUACCACAAUCAUCCUUGAUGUACACGCCUUUAGAGAGAGCCAUACAUGAUUUAGAAUUUGUUAGAAUACUCUAUGUGUUUCGCUUAUAUCUUUUGAGUUAUAUAGUUUUGCUCUAGUACUUCACUUAUAUCUUUUAGAGCACGGUGAUGGAUUUUUUUAUAGAAACUAUUGAUCUCUCACGCUUCACUUAGAUUAUUUUGAGAGUCUUAAUUAGCAUGGCAAUUUUCUUAAAUAAUCCAAUAUGCUUGGUAUUCAAGAAUAGUAAAAACUUUCUUAUGAGGGUGUUGAAAGCUAUGAGAAGUUUGAUGCUUGAUAAUUGUUUUGAGAUAUGAAGAUGGUGAUAUUAAAGUUGUGCUAGUUGAGUAGUUGUGAAUUUGAGAAAUACAUGUGUUAAAGCUUGUGAUUCCCGUAGCAUGCACGUAUGAUGAACUGUUAUGUGAUGAAGUCGGAGCAUGAUUUAUUUUUUGAUUGUCUUCCUUAUGAGUGGUGGUCGGGGACGAGCGAUGGUCUUUUCCUACCAAUAUAUCCCCCUAGGAGCAUGCGCGUAAUAUUUUGCUUUGAUAACUUGUAGAUUUUUGCAAUAAGUAUAUGAGUUCUUUAUGACUAAUGUUGAGUCCAUGGAUUAUACGCACUCUUUGUCCCUCCACCAUUGCUAGCCUCUCUAAUACCGCGCAUCUUUCGCCGGUAUCAUACACCCACCAUAUACCUUCCUCAAAACAGCCACCAUAUCUACCUAUUAUGGCAUUUCCAUAGCCAUUCCGAGAUAUAUUGACAUGCAACUUUCCACCGUUCCGUUCAUCAUGACACACUCCAUCAUUGUCAUAUUGCUUAGCAUGAUCAUGUAGUUGACAUCAUAUUUGUGGCAAAGCCAAUUCUUUCAUACAUGUCACUCUUGAUUCAUUGCAUAUACCGGUACACCGCCGGAGGCAUUCAUAUAGAGUCAUAUUUUGUUCUAAGUAUCGAGGUGUAAUUGUUGAGUUGUAAGAAAAUAAAAGUGUGAUGAUCAUCAUUAUUAGAGCAUUGUCCCAGUGAGGAAAGGAUGAUGGAGACUAUGAUUCCCCCACGGGUCGGGAUGAGACUCCGGACGAAAAAAAAGAAAAGAGGCCAUAAAAAAAGAGAAAAGGCCCAAAUCAAAAAAUGAGAGAAAAAGAGAGAAGGGACAAUGUUACUAUCCUUUUACCACACUUGUGCUUCAAAGUAGCACCAUGAUAUUCAUAUUAGAGAGUCUCUCAUUUCGUCACUUUCAUAUACUAGUGGGAAUUUUUCAUUAUAGAACUUGGCUUGAAUAUUCUAAUGAUGGGCUUCCUCAAAAUGCCCUAGGUCUUCAUGAGCAAGCAAGUUGGAUGCACACCCCCUUAGUUUCUUUUGUUGUGCUUUCAUAUACUUAUAGCUCUAGUGCAUCCAUUGCAUGGCAAUCCCUACUCACUCACAUUGAUAUCUAUUGAUGGGCAUCUCCAUAGCCCAUUGAUACGCCUAGUUGAUGUGAGACUAUCUUCUCCCUUUUUGUCUUCUCCACAACCACCAUUCUAUUCCACUUAUAGCGCUAUAUCCAUGGCUCACGCUCAUGUAUUGCGUGAAGAUUGAAAAAGUUUGAGAAUGUCAAAAGUAUGAAACAAUUUAUUGGCUUGUCGUCGGGGUUGUGCAUGAUUUAAAUACUUUGUGUGAUGAAGAUAGAACAUAGCCAGACUAUAUGAUUUUGUAGGGAUAGCUUUCUUUGGCCAUGUUAUUUUGAGAAGACAUGAUUGCUUUGUUACUAUGCUUGAAGUAUUAUUAUUUUUAUGUAAAUAUUAAACUUUUAUCUUGAAUCUUUCGAAUCUGAAUAUUCAUACCACAAUUAAGAAGAAUUACAUUAAAAUUAUGCCAAGUAGCACUCCGCAUCAAAAAUUCUGUUUUUAUCAUUUACCUACUCGAGGACGAGCAGGAAUUAAGCUUGGGGAUGCUUGAUACGUCUCCAACGUAUCUAUAAUUUUUUAUUGCUCCAUGCUAUAUUAUCUACUGUUUUGGACAUUAUUGGGCUUUAUUAUCCACUUUUAUAUUAUUCUUGGGACUAACCUAUUAACCAGAGGCCCAGCCCAGAAUUGUUGUUUUUGCCUAUUUUAGGGUUUCGAAGAAAAGGAAUAUCAAACGGAGUCCAAACGGAAUGAAACCUUCAGGAACGUGAUUUUCUCGCCGAACAUGAUCCAGGAGACUUGGACCCUACGUCAAGAAACAAAGGAGGAGGCCACGAGGUAGGGGGCNNNNNNNNNNNNNNNNNNNNNNNNNNNNNNNNNNNNNNNNNNNNNNNNNNNNNNNNNNNNNNNNNNNNNNNNNNNNNNNNNNNNNNNNNNNNNNNNNNNNNNNNNNNNNNNNNNNNNNNNNNNNNNNNNNNNNNNNNNNNNNNNNNNNNNNNNNNNNNNNNNNNNNNNNNNNNNNNNNNNNNNNNNNNNNNNNNNNNNNNNNNNNNNNNNNNCUGUUGCUCCACCGACGUACUCCUUCCUCCUAUAUAUAUCUGCGUACCCCCAAACGAUCAGAGACGGAGCCAAAACCCUAAUUCCACCGCCGUAACUUCCUGUAUCCACGAGAUCCCAUCUUGGGUCCUGUUCCGGAGCUCCGUCGGAGGGGGCAUCUAUCACGGAGGGCUUCUACAUCAACACUAGCCUCUCCGAUGAAGUGUGAGUAGUUUACCUCAGACAUUCGGGUCCAUAGUUAUUAACUAGAUGGCUUCUUCUCUCUUUUUGGAUCUCAAUAUAUACAAUGUUCUCCCCAUCUCUUGUGGAGAUCUAUUCGAUGUAAUCUUCUUUUUGCGGUGUGUUUGUUGAGACCGAUGAAUUGUGGGUUUAUGAUCAAGAUUAUCUAUGAACAAUAUUUGAAUCUUCUCUGAAUUAUUUAAUGUAUGAUUGGUUAUCUUUGAAAGUCUCUUCGAAUUAUCAGUUUGGUUUGGCCUACUAGAUUGAUCUUUCUUGCAAUGGGAGAAGUGCUUAGCUUUGGGUUCAAUCUUGUGGUGUCCUUUGCCAGUUACAGUAGGGGCAGCAAGGGACGUAUUGUAUUGUUUCCAUUGAGGAUAACAAGAUGGGGGUUUCAUCAUAUUGCAUGAGUUUAUCCCUCUACAUCAUGUCAUCUUGCUUAAGGCGUUACUCUGUUUUCAUGAACUUAAUACUCUAGAUGCAUGCUGGAUAGCGGUCGAUGAGCGAAGUAAUAGUAGUAGAUGCAGGCAAGAGUCGGUCUACUUGUCUUGGACGUGAUGCCUAUAUACAUGAUCAUACCUAGAUAUUCUCAUAACUAUGCUCAAUUCUGUCAAUUGCUCAACAGUAAUUCGUUCACCCACCGUAAAAUACUUAUGCUCUUGAGAGAAGCCACUAGUGAAACCUAUGGCCCCCUGGUCUAUCUUCAUCAUAUUAAUCUUCCAAUACUUAGUUAUUUCCUUUGCUUUUACUUUACUUUGCAUCUUUAUCACAAAAAUACCAAAAAUAUUAUCUUAUCAUAUCUAUCAGAUCUCACUCUCGUAAGUUACUGUGAAGGGAUUGACAACCCCUUAUCGCGUUGGUUGCGAGGAGUUAUUUGCUUUGUGCAGGUACGAGGGACUCGCGCGUAGCCUCCUACUGGAUUGAUACCUUGGUUCUCAAAAAUUGAGGGAAAUACUUACGCUACUUUGCUACAUCAUCCUUUCCUCUUCAAGGAAAUCCAACACAGUGCUCAAGAGGUAGCACCCCUCCAUAGUUCAACACCUCAGUCAUAUCGUCGUAGUGCUUAGGUGAAGCCCCACGCCGGUAACUUCAUCAUCACCGUCGCCACACAAUUAUGCUGAAGGAACUGUCUCUCACCCUCAACUGGAUCAAAAGCUCGAGGGACAUCAUCAUGCUGAAUGUGUGCUAAACACGGGGGUGCCAUACGUUCGGUACUUGGAUCGGUUGGAUCGUGAAGACGUUCGACUACAUCAACCGCGUUACUAAACGCUUCCGCUUUCGGUCUACGAGGGUACGUGGACACACUCUCCCCUCUCGUUGCUAUGCAUCUCCUAGAUAGAUCUUGUGUGAUCGUAGGAAUUUUUUGAAAUACUUUGUUCCCUUCAGUUACCAGCGUGCCCAAGCCAUUGCACCUCUCACCUCCAUGAUUGCCUCUUUUCCUCUACCACCAAAUUGAAUUUUCUUCUUAAGAUAUAGUUUUAAAUCUUAAUCAUGCAAUCGGCUCAAAACUACACUAAUUGAUUGGGAAAGGAAAAUAAAAUGUAAAACAUCAACCCUGCAUUAGUGCAUCUUUCCUGACUCAAGAGCAUGACACCAAGUAGACGAACACCUUUCAGGCCAGGGAAGAGCGAGGAUCCUCCCAGGCUCCUUCGAUGAAAGAUGAUUGGAAUACAAAAGAAGUUAAUCAUCAGUAAUGGAGAGGCCAUCUACAUGUGCACUGUCAGUUACAUAUGUUACAACCAAGUGAUAGGGGUUCUUUUUAGAGAGAAAAGAAAAUCGGUGGGGGUGUUCAUUAAUUCGGUGGAGGGCUAAUGAAACGAAACGACCUACAUACUCCCCUUUAAUAGUAGAUAUUUUAUAACGUGCUUAUCUUAGCAACGAUGAUUCAGUAGAUAUUGCAUGUGGAAACCUGUGGGGAAUUGGAUUGAGGUACAUCAACAUUAACACUUUUUGAGGAACACUUAAUUUUAGCUACCAAAUGGUAGUACAUGUCUGUUUGAAUGUUACUGGAAGUCUGCUACAUCAAGAGCGAGACAACAAUAGCCAACUACAACUAAUUGAGACAAUAUAUAUCAACAUCGACGGAUACAUAUAUUGCCAAAUCCCAGCAAAAUGAGAGAGAAAAAAAGGUGGCAUUCAAGAAAAUCUAGUGAACAUCUCUUAAAUGCUUGUAAGAAAUCUGAAUAGACUCUCAAAAAUAUCCUUCUCAAGAUAAAAAACAAACUGGUCAAGAUUACCUUUCAUACACAAAUACAGGAGUAGAAGUAGACCAGAUGUGCUACAACCAAACAACAACCCCGAGAAGCCUAUUUCGAGGGGAAAUGAACCGAAAUGAAAACAGAGAUUCAUGGCAGUUAUAUACCUCUCUUUUGGCGGUCAUGGUGGUGUGCCGCUCCACCUUUGGGCUUCGCAUAGUGGGAAACUUGGUCACCAGCAGAAUCCAGGAUGGCCCCAUCUUGUUUGCUCCGAGGGGAGACCAUUGGGUAAGGUGCUCCACUGAGCCAUUCCUUCAUGGCAAUAACAAGUACAGUGAGUCAGAAACCUCAAAAAAGGAAAAAAAAUCAUAAGGCAGUGGAAGCUCAGGGUGAAGUGAAGUUCCUUGCUUCACGGCUAUACUGCUUGAAUAUAACCUGAGAAAAUGCAUCUUGUUCAAGCAGCAUGGCUAGAGGAGGCAUGAGGUUUUAGUGCCUCCCUUCAUCCCAAAUGCAGGGGGAAACCAAAGAUGAAUCCACUCCGAAGUUAUGAUGAGAAAGCUAUAUUGAUCAUGUUACUACAUUUUUAAACUCUUUAACAAGCUUGAUUUGUCUUCAGUUUUAUCCAGUGUAUGUCUUCUCUUCAUAUUUAUCCAGUUUACAAACUAUGAAAAACUCAGGUAUGUGAAACAGAUAGCACACAUAGAUCAAUGUCAAAAUCCGAAGCAACACACAACUCAAAACAGAUAGCACAUGUGGAUCAAUCUAUCAUCUAUGCCCAAACAAAUAGCACAUGUAUGUGGAUCAAUCUUGUUAGGAAUCAAAUUUAGCAGUGGUCUUUUAUUAAUUAGCACAUACUAAUUAGUGAACCAACAUUAGCAAUUAGCAACCAUCAAUAACACUUGGAUUUUGUCCAACACCUAACCAACAAACCUUGUAAGUGACCUACACCUUAUAUAAAUACUCAGAUUCAUCAUCAAUGAAAAGCUGUUGAUUCAUUCAUUUAUCUAUCUCUCUAUUUUUUUACUUCUAAACACGUUAUCAUGCACUUUGCUCUCCAAUUGAGCAAUUUGACCGGGAAAUAAAAGAGAAGAACAAGGAUGAAUAGGGGACUUCAAUCCACAUUGGUUUAAAGAUCAUCCUCGAAUAGAACGGAUAGAUCAAAACAAAAGAAGAAACCAACUGAUUAUACUCCAUACAGGAACUUGAAAUUGGUCAGAUUUUUCAAUCAAGUAACCACAACGGAUUGAUCCUUGUUUUUCAUCAUUAUCAGUGGCCAGGAAUUAGGCAAUGUUCGCAUCUUUUCAUGGGCGAAGACAUCAUAAAAGAAACGGACGAACGGAAAAGGAGAACAGAGCUUGUCUAUCUGGCUUCAAUCAAGAAAAUACUAAUAACAGAGAUUACCUGUUUAAUCUAGUAUUCUUGUUAUCAACUAAUAAUCUAACAAUGGAUUGCGUUUCCCAUGUAUGUACGUACUCACGCAAAUCACAAGAAGAAACGAUCGAUCAUGUAUUACGAAGAAGAGGCAGUGCUCUCAUGCGCACGUCGCCAUCCGGCCGGCGCAACUUCCCACGAAUCCUUGCUCAACUGGAACAUGGCAUGGCGCGUCUCAGUAGUGGCAGCCGAUGGGUCGCUCCACCCUCCGGCAGAGCACAACCACGAUGUGGGGGCGAAGCCCUCAGGCACGCGGCGACGUCGCCUCGGCUCCGAUCACACAUGCACAAGCACUACUAGGGAAAAGCCUAGUAGUAAUGUGGAUUUAAUUCCUACACACUACUAGUAAGGUGCUACAUCUAUUCCUUAGCAGUAGCGCGUGUAACACACACUAAUGCUAAGACAUAUAGCCGUUUCCAGCGCUACUGCUAAUCUAACUAGUAGUAGCAUGCUUCUUGUCCAGUGCUACUACAUUUUUAGUGUAUUUAUAUGCCGUUAUACAAAUUUUGAUACAGUACCAAUUAAGAGGUUGUUAUAUCAUUAUGUCCAUGAUGAAUUAAUAUAUCAUUGUAAGGAAGAAACAUGGAUUAGAUUCAUUUGGAUGAAUCAAAAGUUGAAAUAGGAUGACGAUCCUACUAAUUCAACUUUUGGUCACUUUUGAUCCAUCCACAUGAAUCUAAUCCGCGUUCCUUCCACCAAUGAUAUAAUAACUAAUCAUGAUCAUAAUAACAAAUAAUCAUGAUCAACAUCAUCAUCAUAUUAAUAUAAAAACUCUUGCAUCAUGUCAUCACCAACAACACUAGCUAAUAAUCAUCAUAGUCAUUACCACCAACACUAUUUAAUCAUCAUAGUCAUAGUGUAGCUAUCUAAUCACCCCCAACACUAGCUAAUAAUAAUAAUAAUCAUAGUCAUUACCACCAACACUAGCUAUUUAAUCAUCAUAGUCAUAGUGGAGCACAUCAUCAUCUUCAAACUCAUUCUAGCUAGCUAAUCACUCCUGCUGCUCUCUCUCAGGUAAAAUAGCAUAAAACAUGUGUAGCACUCCUGCUUCAUCAUAUUGGAGAAUGCAGAUGAACCAGACUCCUAAUUGUGGAUUGCGCUUCUGAUUGCUGCCCCCUAGUACUUCUCUUUUGUGGCCCUUCACAAUUUUGCUCCAGUCUUUCACUAUUAAGACUUACUCGCUUUGAUAAAUCAUGAAUGCACUCAUGUGUAAUGCAGGAUAUUUUGGUCGUAAGCUAACCAUUGUCAUGCGACCUUUAGGCUCGAUCCAACGAGGCACAACAUUCAUCGGGAGUUCCUGUUGAAAAACAUCGUACUAACAUACUUAGCAAUGAAGUUUAGCUUAAAAAUAAUGUAUGCAAAAGUUGCACUAAGGAUAAAUAGUAAAAAUCUUACCAUCUUUCCUAAAUAGAUGUGAUUGUAGUUCAAUAGGCACACUAGUGGUCGCACGUAUUGAGUACUAAUAUUUCGAAGUUUAGGAAAAUAACCUGUCUUGACAGUAUUAAGAUCCUCAAGCCAUGAAACAUAAUGACUUAUCUCCUCACAGUUUAGUUCAUUUCCGGGACAGUAGUAGGUGAUGUCUACCAAGCGUCGGACAUGUUUGCUUGAAUGGAAAUAAGCUGUCAACAGAAAUUAGUUGUCAACUAUUUUUAAAUAAACAAUAUAAAUUACUUAAUAAAUAUGGUUGAGAAACUCACAUAAUGGUAGAACUAGGGGCGUCUGCACAUCGACCCAGAUGUCGAUAUUACCUUCAAUUUAAUCUUCCAGAUGAAUAUCAAAGGUGAUAAGCAUAUUAGGCUCAAAUGCAUAAGCCUUGCACAGUGCUCUCUAAUUUUUGCAUUCAAAAUAGGACUAGGUGUCUGCAUUGUAUAAUUUUUCGGCAAAAGUAUAACCAUACUCGGUCCUCAACUGAACUCUCUUUGCCUCCAUACUGUCCAUAGUAUUGAAACCAAUAUUAUCCAAGACAUAAAUUCUUCCAUGGCAGGGGAUACGCUAGUAGAAUGCUAAAAAAAUUAAAAUUAUAAGUUGAAGCAAAAGAAGCAGAAGUCAUACUUAAUUACGAAAAAAAGACUUGUCAUUGUGACUUACUAUAUCCACUUCGAAGGUCUCAUCCAACAUGAUGUUGAAGCGCCUACCACCAACUAGGUGAGGCCUAUCGCAUAGGCCGCGCUCGCCUUCGCAGUAUUCGCACAUAACGAAUUCCUUUUCGUUGUUAGACAUUUCCUAUGUUCAUAGUUGAAACAUUGAAAAUCGAUCGAAGACAACUACCAGGAAACUCAACACAUAGAUCACUAUUACUCAAUAUGAAACGGGUUAACUUUAGGUCUGUCGAGUCUUCCUUCCUAAACUCUUAUCUCACAUAUUUAGUCGGGAUUCUUUCACUCUCACAUUUUGACCGUCGGUGAUAGUCACUACUCCUCCUUUUCCUAGUGCAUUACAAAUAUCUAGCACAAGGAAAGAAGGAGAAGCGACCCGCACGACAACAGUCGGGAUUCUUCCUCUCUCAAUGGUGGACCCUCUCCCUCAUUGAAAGACACACAAGGAGCCGAAAUAGACAUGAAGUCAACUUGUUCCAUAUAUCGAGCAAUGAUAUUGAAAAAAUGCCCUAUGUUUUGCCGAAAUAUCGUUGAAUUCCUGUUCUAGCAAAUCACAUGCACUCGAUAUGUCCUACAUUGUAGCAUAAGUCAUGCUAAAAUUCAUGAAAAAAUUCGGCAUCGCCUUUGCUAAAGACAUGACAUAUCGAGCACCUGAAAUUGCCAGAAUGGAAACGAAUCAACAUUCUAGCAAAACAUAUAUAGGCCACUCGGAGGUACAUUGCAAACAAGAACACCAAGACAUCCUCUAUAUUCAGAAUGCAUCAUCAUCGACAUCAAUGACAUGGCGACUAGCACUAGCAUUUUCAUCAUCGACAUUUACAACACAUUAUCAUUUGGCUAUUCUCACCUAGAGGUCUUAAGGGGUCGACGAUGGGGACGACUGUGGGGAUGACGCGGGGGCAAAUACUUGAUUUCGGUAUAAACAAAAUAUAUUAACCACUUACUAUAAAUAAACUAGUUCUAUUAAGCACUUACUAUAAAUAAACUAUUUCUAUUGAGAACUUACUAUAAAUAAACUAGUUAUAUUAACCACUUACUAAAUAACUAUUUCUAUUAAACACUUGCUAAAAUUUAAACAUUGUUAACUGAUAAAUCUCCAACGUAUCUAUAAUUUUUGAUUGCUCCAUGCUAUAUUAUCUACUGUUUUGGACAUUAUUGGGCUUUAUUAUCCACUUUUAUAUUCUUUUUGGGACUAACCUAUGAACCGGAGGCCCAGCCCAGAAUUGCUGUUUUUUUGCCUGUUUUAGGGUUUCAAAGAAAAGGAAUAUCAAACGGAGUCCAAAGGGAAUGAAACCUUCGAGAACGUGAUUUUCUCAACGAGCAAGACCCGAGAGACUUGGACCCUACGUCAAGAAAGAAAAGAGGAGGCCACGAGGUAGGGGCGCGCCUACCCCCCCCCCCCCAGGCGCGCCCUCCACCCUCGUGGGCCCCCUGUUGCUCCACUGACGUACUCCUUCCUCCUAUAUAUACCUACGUACCCCCAAACGAUCAGAUACGGAGCCAAAACCCUAAGUCCACCGCCGUAACUUUCUGUAUCCACGAGAUCCCAUCUUGGGUCCUGUUCCGGAGCUCCGCCAGAGGGGGAAUCGAUCACGGAGGGCUUCUACAUCAACACCAUAGCCCCUCCGAUGAAGUGUGAGUAGUUCACCUCAGACCUAUGGGUCCACAGUUAGUAUCUAGAUGGCUUCUUGUCUCUUUUUGGAUCUCAAUACAAUGUUCUCCCCUCUCUUGUGGAGAACUAUUCGAUGUAAUCUUCUUUUUGCGGUGUGUUUGUUGAGACCGAUGAAUUGUGGGUUUAUGACCAAGUCUAUCUAUGAAUAAUAUUUGAAUCUUCUCUGAAUUCUUUCAUGUAUGAUUGGUUAUCUUUGCAAGUCUCUUCGAAUUAUCAGUUUGGUUUGGCCUACUAGAUUGAUCUUUCUUGCAAUGGGAAAAGUGCUUAGCUUUGGGUUCAAUCUUGCGAUGUCCUUUCCCAGUGACAGUAAGGGCAGCAAGGCACGUAUUGUAUUGUUGCCAUCGAGGAUAACAAGAUGGGGUUUUCUUCAUAUUGCAUGAGUCUAUCCCUCUACAUCAUGUCAUCUUGCUUAAGGCGUUACUCUGUUUUUAACUUAAUACUCUAGAUGCAUGCUGGAUAGCGGUCGAUGAGUGGAGUAAUAGUAGUAGAUGCAGGCAGGAGUCGGUCUACUUGUCUCGGACGUGAUGCCUAUAUACAUGAUCAUACCUAGAUAUUCUCAUAACUAUGCUCAGUUCUGUCAAUUGCUCAACAGUAAUUUGUUCACCCACCGUAGAAUACUUAUGCUCUCGAGAGAAGCCACUAGUGAAACCUAUGGCCCCCGGGUCUAUCUUUAUCAUAUUGAUCUCCUACUACUUAGUUAUUUCAUUUGCUAUUUACUUUGCCUUUAUUUUACUUUGCAUCUUUAUCACAAAAAUACCAAAAAUAUUAUCUUAUCAUAUCUAUCAGAUCUCACUCUCGUAAGUGGCCUUAUAGGGAUUAACAACCCCUAUUUGCGUUGGUUGCGAGGAUUUACUUGUUUUGUGCAGGUACGACGGACUCAUGCGUAGCCUCCUACUGGAUUGAUACCUUGGUUCUCAAAAACUGAGGGAAAUACUUACGCUACUUUGCUGCAUCAUCCCUUCCUCUUCGGGGAAAACCAACGCAGUGCUCAAGAGGUAGGAUUAACCUAGCCAACCAGACUGCUAUGCUCUAAACCCUGCUGCCCUAGUUAAACCUACUGCCCUAACUACAUUUUUGCUCUAAACUAAAUUUUUGCUCUAACCUAGCUAGUUAACCUAAUGAACCUAGCUAGUUAACCUAGUUGGUUAACCUAGCUAGUUAACCUAGUUGGUUAACCUAGCUAGUUAACCUAGUUAAUUAACCUAAUUAAACUAGUUAACCUAGCUAGCCAACCUAGUUAACCUAGCUAGUUUGAAUUUUUACUAAUUUACUAAAAAAUCUACUCUAUGCAAGAACAGAGUGAGGAGAGAUGAGGGAGGGAGAAUGGGAGCAGGGGGUGGGGGAGGGAGGAGGAUCGGAGGAGGGAGGAGGGAGGGGUNNNNNNNNNNNNNNNNNNNNNNNNNNNNNNNNNNNNNNNNNNNNNNNNNNNNNNNNNNNNNNNNNNNNNNNNNNNNNNNNNNNNNNNNNNNNNNNNNNNNNNNNNNNNNNNNNNNNNNNNNNNNNNNNNNNNNNNNNNNNNNNNNNNNNNNNNNNNNNNNNNNNNNNNNNNNNNNNNNNNNNNNNNNNNNNNNNNNNNNNNNNNNNNNNNNNNNNNNNNNNNNNNNNNNNNUGGGAGGAGGGCUUGGCCGGAGGAGGAGGCGGAGGGCUUGGUGGAGAAGGAGGAGUGCCCUUGGCCGGAGGAGAGGAGGGAGGAGGGCUUAGCCGGAGGACGAGGGAGGAGGGCGGUGGGAGGAGGAGGGAGAGGAGGGAGGAGGGCAUACCGAGGAAGGAGGAGGGAGGACGACGGCGGCAAUGCGUUGGCGACAGCAAUGCAGCGGUGGCAGAGGAAAAGUGAGGCAACGGGAAGUGAGGGAAGGAAGAAGAAGGUCGGGUGCGUGUCGGCGUUUUGGGAACGGGGGUCCCCAGACUUGCCUGCCUGCGGCCUGCGGUGUGGCUCAAGCGGGGGCCCAGCGCGGCCCAUCUUCAUCAGCUCAAGCUCAAGACCCUCGCGAGGGGCCAAGCCUCGCGGGGCGGACGACAGGAAGCUUCCUCAGAGGCAGCCUCAUCAGGCAGGCUUGCAAGGAGGCGGAGAGAUCAAGGCAGGGGUACCUCGCGAGGAACCCGUGAUGCAAGCCAUGACGAUCGAGACCAGGCGGGCGCCAGGCGGGCGCCGGCCUGCGCAGUGUCCUUGUUUCCCCUUUGGUGCAAAGGGGGCAAGCACAGGCCAAGGAAUCAGGCAAAGGUUACCAUUCCGGUGCAACGAGACCAAGACCAGCCGGACGGUUGGACGGAGGUCACCGUGGAGUCCAAGAUGGCAUCAUCACCAGUGCUUUUGGCAGCCGAAGACCACCUUUGGUCAGGAUAACUUGUACUAGAUGUUCCCCUUCGAAAUGGCCAAUUGUUGGCGCCCUUCCCGCUCAUUAUUUGGGGAGAGGCCCAGGGCCUCUAUAAAUAGAGCUAGCCACCACAGAGUAGGGAGGAGACACCCGAGAGAGAUCGAGACACCCCGGAGAGAUCGAGACCCCCGAGAGAGAACGAGACACCCCGGAGAGACCAAGGCACCGAGGAAGGGAGAAAUCUGGAGACGGCUAGAAAUCUGGUAGAACCAUAGCAGAGAGAGAGGAAGAGGCGACUGAACUCACCCUAGCAGUUCAUCGCACCAGCUCAAAAACACCUCUCACGAGGCUAUUCUUCCCUUGUACUGUCCAUCAUCAGUCCCAGAGGCAAUCCACCACACCACACACUGGAGUAGGGUAUUACACCACAACGGUGGCCCGAACCAGUAUAAACUUCGUGUCUCUUGUGUUGUUCAUCAUUUUCAUCUUAGUACGCACGAGAGGAUCGGACGUAGAUCGGUAGGGGAGAGAUCUCCGCGCGCACCCUAGUGUUCGAACCUCAAGGGUUUGCCGGAACCCGAAACCCGACAUUUGGCGCGCCAGGUAGGGGUGCGCCGGAAUCUUCCUUCCGCUGUUCGCGUGUGAUCUUCCGUCGUGUCCAUGGCUGACGCUCGUCGGGCUCAGGCCGAGCGCCGGGCUACUCACGCCGCUCGCGUCGCCCAGACGGCGCCCGUCGGCGGCCCCCCUCGUUGUUCCCCGUCGCCCGCCGCCAACGCCGCCAACGUACCGGCGGGGAACGAGCAGCAGGCCUUGUCCCAGCACCCCUCGGUGCGGCGGGAUGGCCGCAUCGCCACCACGUCGCUGACUCCAGCUGGCUCGUCGUCCCACGCCCGUCGCGCACCCAUGGAUGCGCACGCCUCACUGCUCUUGGCGUGGGAGCUCCUGCACUAUCGCCCCAUCAACGACCUCUACGAGGACUGGCUCGCCCCAUCACCGAGCUCGUCAGUGCCGCAGGGGGCUCCCCCUUGCGGUCCCUCUCGCUGCCUCGCCCUCCAUCCCGUGCAGGGGGCGAUGAUCAGGAGGCGCCUCUGCCGCCUCCUCCCCAAGAAAGUGCCUUGGCUCCAAGGCGCGCAACCCCAGGGCGAGACCCUCCAUGUCCGGCGCCUGCGCAGCAAGAAGGGAGCUGCCAAGAGAUCCCACGUCCCCGGGAAGGUGCUCGCGCGCUCCCAGCACCGGCGCGCCAAGAUCGCGCCCCAGCGCCUCCACGACAAAACCCCACGCUGCUCCCAGUGGCGGCGCGUGGUGACCCGCAAGAACGAGUCCAACACCAGCAAAGCACGCCGGUGGCCACGGCGGGCUGCCUCGCCUUCACCCCCGAGCUGCGAUGCAUCACAUGGCCAGGCAAGUUCAAGCCUGACCUCCCUCCCUGCUACAAUGGCACAGCGGACCCCGCAGAGUUCCUGCAGCUCUAUGAGCUGGGCAUCGUAGCCGCCAACGGAGACGAGAAGGUCAUGGCAAAUUGGUUCCCCAUGGCUCCUGAACCUGGCUCCCGGCAUGAUCUCCUCCUGGAGCGAGAUGCACACCCGCUUCAUCGCCAAUUUCCAGGGCACUCGCGACCGGCCCCCGGCCGUGAGCGACCUGCGCCGCAUCAAGCAACAGCCAGCAGAAACCUUGCAGAAGUACAUCCAGCGCUUCAACUACGCUCGCCUCAAGAUCCCCAAGGUGACUGAAGAAGCCAUCAUCUCAGCCUUCUCCGACGGCGUGCGCGAGGUCAAGAUGAAGGAAGAGCUAGCAAUCCAUGAAGACCUGUGCACAUCCCUGGAGCUGUUCAACUUGGCGACCAAGUGCGCCAGGGCUGAGGAAGGGCGUCUCUCCCUCCUCGAGCUCCCGGCAGCCGACCCGGAAGAAAAGAAGCUCAAGGCCAAGGACGUGAAGCGCAAGGGGGCUGCCGUUCUAGCAGCGGAACCGGACACCAAGCGAGGCAUGGAUCAGCCUUAGUCAUCCUAGGGCGGACGGCACUGCAUGUACGACGACCUCCACACCCACAACACCAACGAAUGUCAAGAGCUCAGAGCCGUGCGAGAUGGGCGUAUCAGCCGAUGCCCAGAGCGCAACGACAGGGGCUAUGGCCGAGGAGGAGGAAGAGGUGGUGGACGAUGGGAAGAUCGUGGCCUUCGCCAGGGAUGCGUGACCGCCCUCGCGAGGACCGCUGGCAGGACCAGCCUCGUGAGGGAGGUUGGAAGGACCAUCCUCGUGAGGACCGUCCCCACGGCAACGUAGGCCUCCCUCCUCUGCCACCUUCACCAAGGAGGAACGAAGACCAACACCAAGACGAUGGGGCUGGGGGCUUCCAAGAUCUGCGUGCAAUUGCUUGCAUCUUGGGCGGCGCCCAGGCCCCAGCCUCACAAAGCAUCUUCGAGCAGUUUGCUCGCGAGGUGAAUGCAAUCCUUCCCAAGCUUGAGGCCACGCGCCCUCUCAGGUGGUCUUCAUGCGCGAUCACAUUCAGUUCCGCAGACUAGCUCAAGUGUGCGGCAACGGCCAGAGUCCUCCCGAUGCUUUGCUCCCCAGUUAUCAGCAACGUGCAGGUCACCAGGACCCUCAUCGAUGGCGGGGCAGGACUCAAUGUCCUGUCCGUCGAGACAUUCGACAAUCUCCAAGUGCCAUACGACCAGCUUUAGCCGACCAAGCCUUUCUCAGGAGUCACCGAUGGUUCCACUGUUCCAAUUGGGCAGGUUCGCCUUCCGGUCACCUUCGGGCAACGCAACAACUACCGCACCGAGCUCAUCGACUUUGACGUCGCCCACAUCCGCCUGCAGUACAACGCCAUCCUCGGGUACCCAGCCCUAGCCGAGUUUAUGGCAGUGACUCACCAUGAUUACAAUGUCCUCAAGAUGCCAGGAAGCGGUGGAGUCAUCACCGUACCCUGUGAAGAAAGGGACGCAGUGUGCUCGCUCGAGCGUGCAUUCCAAGCCGCAGCAAUCGAAGACCCAGAUCGCAGGAGCGGGAAGCCUCUCGAGGCGACCCUCAAGAAGAAGAAGACCUCACCUGGCCAGAGCCACAAGGAAGCAGGCACCUCCAGAGGUAUUGUGUCAAGAUUCGCGCCCGAUCAGGGAGCGCCGCCCUCUUGCACAUAGGAAGGAGCGCCCGGCGCCCUCCUCAUGCAGGGCUCGGGGGCUCUCUCUUGGAGAGCCACCGACCUUGCCAAGGUUGCAGGGGGGGCGCUCGGGCACCACUUGGAGGGGUGCUUUCAGGCACGCUUCCCUCAGAAAGGUACAAGUCAAAGGAGACAAAACCCUCAGGAGUUCAUCGCAAGGAACACCCAAGAGCUACAAGAGUCCAUAGUCAUGCGCGGAAGCCGCCUCUUACCUGUCGUGGCCGCACAUCCAGGCGAGGAUGGAGGACUGUGCGUCUGUGUCGACGUACCAGGGCUCAACCGAGCUGCGUCCCAGGAACGCCUAUGGCCUUCGGCCGUAGGGCGCUGUGUGGGAGCACCCCACAGCUACGUUCGCAUGCCCUUCGGCCUGCCGAGCGCAGUCGCCGCACAUCAGUGCCUGUUGAGGAGCAUUCUGGAGGCUCAGGAGGUCAGGCAUGGCGCGGUCCUGGCGGAGGUGGCGAUGGUCCCCGAAGACCUGCACGUGCCAUCAGAGCCUCCUGAGGCCUGGGGGCUCAUGAGGGCCGACGUCUUCACCGCGCAUCGCUCACUUCCUCAGCAUCACUUUGUCUUCAACAACACCAGGUGACAUCUUUCAGAGUUCUACUUUUAGCUGGGAGCGCCCACAGGGCUGCACCAUUCCCAGGCCGCGUGGGUCCGUCCCUGCGGCAUGUAUCUAUUUUGGUUAUGCUCUUUACUUACCCUGUUGGGGGCGCCCCUCGGGCUGCAUCAUCCCCACACCGCUCAGGCCCGACCCAGCGGCAGUUGCUUUUCCAGCAUUUACCCUAGGAUGAAGUUGUUCUUUCAUGCUUAAUCUAAUUCCCAUAGUUAUCACCUACUUCUUGUCGUCGUGCAAAGCGCUUGCACGUUAAAAGGGGGCGCCUAAGCAUCGCGACUCAUGGGCUCUUACUGGCUCUCCAUCCCUCACCCCCUGGCCUUGACCCAUAGCAUCGUGACCUGUCAUACUAGUGACGGCUGAGCUCGCUUGGGGGCCGGGACCUGAGGACGUAGAGCAUUUGCAUUCUAAUAACCCUGCAGGAACACACCAAUUGAUAAAGGCCCAGACCCAGCCGCAACCCGCCUCGAGGUAGGGCCUCGUGAGUCCCGCGCUGGCUCACGGGUGCCCAAAUACACCUCUCCUAGCCCUACCGUGCCGACCACGUGUCAGGGCGGGGCUAUACAUGCCCCGGGGGCUCCUCCCAGAGGGGAGCCCCCUCCCACGCACCAGUGCAAGCACCAUGCUCCGCGCUGGCUGACGACACUGCCGGGGAGCGGCUAUGCCCGUACACAUACAGAAGCGCUAUGCUCCGCGCUGGUGAUAAACAACUAAGGGCGGCCCAUGGCCGUACCAACCUCAGGGAGCCCAGAGCUCAGUGUCCGGCACCAUCGCAACACCUCCCCUCGGGAGUGCCGCGCGAGGGGGCUGGACACGGGGGCUACGCCCGGGCCUCGCCUGAGCGCACGCCACCCAGCCAGGUCCCUUGGACCUGGUCGCCGCGCGCCACUCCCCGAGCGGAGCCAAGGUACGAAACCCGUUUGAGCGUCUAGGGGGACUCCUGAGCAUCGCGACUCAGGAGCCUAACUUUCCAUGUAGCCCCUCACUCCUUAGUCCCGUCCUUGGUUUCCGAUCGGGGCUAACACUGGGUGAGGUAUGCGCGGGGCCGGGCCCUGCCGACGUAUAACGAUCAAUCCACUCCUCGCUCCCCCCUUCCCUACUUGUUGCUCACGCGUCAAGGGGGACUCCUGAGCAUCGCGACUCAGGAGCCUAACUUGCCACGUAGCCGCUCACUCCUUAGUCCCGUCCUUGGUUUCCGGUCGGGGUUAACGCUGGGUGAGGUACGCGCGGGGCCGGGCCCUGCCGAUGUAGAGCGUAAACAAGUAGGUGAGGAAAAUGCAAAUUCCUGGAAAUUCAAAGCAAAUAUUACAAACCAUAAGAUUGUUCCACAAUGCCAAACACAAGUUUUAACGCCUCCGCGAGGCAUGGUGCAUGUGCAGGAAUAAAACAGGAUGGAAGUCGCGAAGGAAUCACUCCCCAGUAACGCCGUCACCGGUGGCAGAGUCAAGCUGGACGGCUUCGCCUCUCGAGGUCGCAAGGCCGACGGCACCGCGCCCGGGCAGGACGCUGGGGGAACGGAACUUCCCCAGCAAAACCUCGGCUCGGCCCCUCACAGCCUCGGCGGCGGCGGCGGCAGCACGAUCGCCGCUCACGGGCUCCAGCAGGCUGUCGAAGUCGACGUUGGGGUCGCGCAGGUAGACAUGGCUGAGGACACGCGUCAGCACCGCAGAAGACAGGGCACAUGCCUCGGCCUCGACCGUGGGGCCAAGGCCGUCUGCGACGUCCUCAAGCGCAUCAACCAGGAAGGGGAGCAGCUUGGCGGGGCCGUCCUCCGCACCAGCCAACGGCUCCUCCAGGACGCUCUCAUACAUCGUAUUCAGUAUGCCUCGAGCCUUCUUCUCCAGCUCCGCGAAGGCCGUCCGGUCCUCCAUCAGGACCUUUGCCUUGGCGUCCAUCUUGGUCCUCUUCGCCUUCAGCGACCGCUCCAGCGUCUCCAGCCGGCUGUGGUGGUCAUCAAGCUUGGCGUCCCGGUCCGUGGCGGCGGCCUCCCUAGCCUUCAUCUCCUUCUCCUGGCGGCUGCGCACCUCCUUGGCGAGCUCGUCACGCAAGCCCUGCAGCUCGGCCUCAAGCGUCUUGCAGCGGCCCUGGGCAUUUGCGACGUCGCCUAGGGUAGCAUCGCGAGCGGCCAUGGCUUGGUUGGCGGCCCGCCUCUCCUCGUCGGAGGCAUAGCUUGGCUCAACACCACUCGGAAGGAGGCAGCAGAACUAGCCCAGCCAGAGGCCAACUCUAGGCGCCCGGCCACCAGACGAGGGUCCGCACUCAGGAGAUCCUCCCGCAAUUGGCUCAGCUCAUUGGCAACCUGGUCCAGGACAGCGGCGGAGGGAGCAGAAGAGACAAGAACCUAUGGAGCAGGCGGAGAGGAUGGCAGCGUGGCCACGGCUUGGCAGGAAGGGACCUCCUGAGCCUUGGCCGCCAUGGCCGCAGCAUCGGGCACAGUCGACUCCAGGUCUAGUGGGGCCACGGGGGUUGACUCCUCGCCGGGGUGCCCCAGUUGGCCUCGCGAGGGCGGUUGGGUCGAAGAGGUGCGGGCCUCGCCGUCCUCUCCCCCAACAGCCGAAGGUGUCGCCCCGGCGGACGGAUUCGCCCCAAGCAUGGCCGCAGAAGCCUCCUUCAACCUCUUGGCCGCAGGUGUCGGCCUGGUAAAAGAGCGCAAACAUCAAGCCUCAGUGGCAGAAACCAAGCAGAGCAUGAAUCGAGCACUUACUGGAUGUUGUCCGUGGGCUCAAGCAACCUCCGGCCAAACUUGAAGCCCGAGAGCCUGCAGCGGGGGUCAGCCUUUGGCGGCCCGAAAGCAGAAGGCGCGUCAGGAGGGAUGGAGCUGGCCUUGGACAUCCCAGGGACUAGAGCAGACCCUGGGGGAACCAGGCUCGACCUGCCCUUCCUCGUGACCGAGGAAGAGCCCUCCUUUCCUCGCCUGGUGUCGGCCUCGUCGUCGUCCAGCAUGGAGCGAAGCGCCUGGGACCUGCGCCGAGGGAAGGACUCCCCUCAAUCCUCGCCAGUCUCCUCCGAGUCAGACGCUUCCUCCUCCGCCUCUUCUUCCUCCUCUUCCCCGCUGGAGCUGUCGGAGGACAAGUUCACCAUCGCCAAGACCGCCAGAUCUUCGGGAGCUGCCGCGGGCACCAGCCCCUCACCGUUGAAGGUGGGCAUGGCGUUCACCACCAGCUCCCAGUCGUCACGAAGGAACAGGGGGACGGGGGCACCCACCGGGCUCGCCACGUCUCCCCCAACCAAGGAAUGGAGGGCCGCAGCCAGAUCCUCGUCAGUCAGGGCCUCGGAGCUCAGGCGCAGGGUGGCGUCUGCUCCUCCAAGCCUCCACAGUGGGAGCGGGUGCUCCUGGAGCGGAGCCACCCGGUGCUCCAAGAACUCCCUCAGGAGCGUGGCCCCGGUCAGCUUCGCCGCCUCCGAGUUGCUUGGUCUCAGGUCCGCGUCCACCCUCCUCAACACCGCCUUCGCGCGAAGGUCGACGAGCUCCGCGCGGGACCAUGCGUCAACGGACUUAGGUUGCCCCGUGGGCAAUACCAGACGAGGGUGGAGGCGCCCAACAUCCAUCAUGACCCACUUGCUCCGGUAGCCUUCAAUCCUCUUCCCAGGCUUCGAGAUGGCGUUGGAGCUGGAAUAUGCAAUGAAGCUCGCGCAUGCGGAGACCUGAGCACCAGAAACCCGGAGGGAGAAAAAAGUGGCGUAGCAAGACCACCGAGGGCUUCACACCAACAUGAGCCUCGCAAUAGUAGGUGAAAAUCGCCAGGAGAAGGACAGAGUUGGGGUGGAGAUGCAGAGCCUGCAGGUUGUAUUGGCGGAGAACGGCAUGGAAGAACUCAGAGAAAGGAGGCACCAGACCAGCGACAUUGGCGCUCACGAAAAACGGGUAGAAGGUGCUCCCCUUGCCCUCAAGCUGAUCGGAGCCGACCUUGAGCACAGUCGCUCCCUCGCUGCCCUGCGCCAUCGUCAUCAGGCGCACGAGGGCGAGGUUCUUCUCCGACAAAUUCAGGGAAUCCAAGGCCGGCGAGUACCAAGCAUCAGCCGGGGACUUGCGAGGCGCCAUGGCGUGCCAGAUGCGAAGGAUUGAGACGGAUCUGGAGGAUUUCGGGAGCAAGAGGAAGGAGAACGAGAAAGGGGAUCUAGGGCAAGACGGACAAGAGCGGGACAAGUAAGCCUGGCCAGGGCACCCCCUUUUGUCAGUCGUGCAGUUGCCAAGGCGUCGUGGGAAGUGCAGACCCCCACGCCCAAUCAACCGCCACGCGGCGCCCAAGGCCGUAGGCUGUUAGGGCCCGCGGUGCUUCGCACUUGCCCCUUCGCUUCUCUGCUAAGCCAAGCCCGCGCACGCCUUGGGCCCGGGGACUACUGUUGGCGUUCUGGGAACGGGGGUCCCCAGACUUGCCUGCCUGCGGUGUGGCUCAAGCGGGGGCCCAGCGCGGCCCAUCUUCAUCAGCUCAAGCUCAAGACCCUCGUGAGAGGCCAAGCCUCGCGGGGCGGACGACAAGAAGCUUCCUCAGAGGCAGCCUCAUCAGGCAAGCUCGCGAGGAACCCGUGACGCAAGCCAUGACGAUCGAGACCAGGCGAGCGCCAGGCGGGCGCCAGCCUGUGCAGUGUCCUUGUUUCCCCUUUGGUGCAAAGGGGGCAAGCACAGGCUAAGGCAUCAGGCAAAGGUUACCAUUCCGGUGCAACGAGACCAAGACCAGCCGGACGGCAGGACGGAGGUCACUGUGGAGCCCAAGACGGCGUCAUCACCAGUGCUUUUGGCAGCCGAAGACCACCUUUGGUCAGGAUAACUUGUACUAGAUGUUCCCCUUCGAAAUGGCCAAUUGUUGGCGCCCUUCCCGCUCAUUAUUUGGGGAGAGGACCAGGGACUCUCUAUAAAUAGAGCUAGCCACCACAGAGUAGGGAGGAGACACCCGAGAGAGAUCGAGACACACGAGAGAGAUCGAGACACCCCGGAGAGAUCGAGACACCCGAGAGAGAUCGAGACACCCCGGAGAGACCAAGGCACCGAGGAAGGGAGAAAUCUGGAGACGGCUGGAAAUCUGGUAGAACCAUAGCAGAGAGAGAGGAAGAGGCGACUGAACUCACCCUAGCAGUUCAUCGCAUCAGCUCAAGAACACCUCUCGCGAGGCUGUUCUUCCCUUGUAUUGUCCAUCAUCAGCCCCAGAGGCAAUCUACCACACCACACACUGAAGUAGGGUAUUACACCACGACGGUGGCCCGAACCAGUAUAAACUUCGUGUCUCUUGUGUUGUUCAUCAUUUUCAUCUCAGUUCGCACGAGAGGAUCGGACGUAGAUCGGUAGGGGAGAGAUCUCUGCGCGCACCCCAUUAUUCGAACCUCAAGGGUCUGCCGGAACCCAAAACCCGACAGCACGGGGGAUAGAACUUGGGAUAAGGCACCCAUAGCAGUAGCACUGGCCCAGGAAGCGCGCUACUGCUAAGUGGAUAGCAACAGCCCGUUUUCACAAAACGUGCUACUACUAUACCUAGUCUGGCGACAACCUCUUCCCAACUGUAGUAGUAGCUCUGUUUAGUAGAGACGUGCUACUGCUACGUGGAUAUCAGUAGCGCGGUUUUCCUCACACGCUACUGCUAAGUAGCAGUAGCGCCUUAUUUUAAACCGCGCUGCUGGUAAGGUUCUGUGUAUAAGAUUUUUCCUAGUAGUUACGGGAGCCGACGCAAGGAACCCUCAGCCCUCCUCACCUCAGCCCCGAUCUCCAUCCCGGCGUGGCAUCUCCGUGGGCUGGGGAAGCAGCAGGACGAAGCGGGGGAGGGGCGGUGGCGGACAUAGAGAUAGAUCGAUUGGAUUUAGGUUAGGUGUGCGUAAAGUACUCCGGUUUUCUUUGCGGAGGAAGGAAAAAAACCAGACGAAGAGGAAGGGGAUGAAAAAAAAACAGACGAAAAAAUCAGAAAAAAAACCAUAUCGUGGACGCAAUCCCACCAACUGCUCCACAUGUGGUAAGCAAUCCAAACAACUCAAAAAAAGGAGUAGAGAUAUGUGUACGUGCUGCCCGCAUGUAUAGUAAUCAGAAAUCAGUAUAUCAACCCAGUAAAAAAAUUAGAUAGGAAAAAAGAGAGAAAACGAGAUGGGCUAGGCCCAAUUGUUGGUGAAGGGUCGCACCGCCGUAGCCUGCACACCUCGAUCGCGAUCGCUUCGUCGCUCUGGCUGCCGGCAACCGUUGCUUGUGAUUCUUCUCCGUUGCAUGCGGCACUGUUGCCGGCUUGCCGCCUUGCCGGUGUUGCGCACCUACCUUUGGCGGCCUGCUUGACCGGUGGCCACUUAAACACUCGCGUCCGGUCGUCCGCGUCGUCUAGUCUCUUUGUCUCUGUAUUCGCCCAUCCCCAAUGUGUACAUUAGAAUUUCGAUGCACAAAUUUCUAAUUCUAUGGAUUCUCUUUUGGACAUAAUUUUAGGACAUUAGCCUGCCAUACAAUGUUUCCUAAAAAGCAUUUGUUUGGUGGUUAAAAAAAGGAGAAAAAAAACAAAGCGAUCUGAAAGUUCAAUCACGAAAGGGUCCAAAAUGUUCUGAUUUCUGAAAAUUCAAUGUUGCGCAAGAAGCAUUAUUAUAGUUGAUGGUGUCACUUAAAUUUGGUCCUAAUUUGAGGUUGAGGUAAUCAUGUUAGUUUCGUUUUGCUAUCAAUUUAGUCUUGCUGCCGUGAUAUGGCAUUGUCCAACUAGAUGUAUAUACGGAAGUUUAUUCUUAAUACUAUGCAAAUAAAAUAAUAUAAUUUAUGUAGCGCACGUGCGCACACACACACACACAUGUACUCUUAGGACUUAGGGGCCCGUGUCGUUGAGUUAGCCCUAGGGCCUUCCUGAACAUAGGGUCGGCCCUGUAAGCUGCCCAGCUCGGCGCCAUGCUAAGGUCUUUUUGGGUUGGGCUUGCUAAAAUCUAUUGGACAAAUAUUGCAGUGCUUCGGGUCAGAGGAUCAAUAAUGCUAAAUCGUCUAUUUUCUUCAGUAAAGGGUGCCCUCAAGGGGUCAAAGAUAGCAUUGAACAAUGCCUUAAUGUGCACAAUGAAUCUUUGAGUGAUAGAUAUGUGGGCAUGCCCACAUAUGUUGGACAGUUUAAGAUGGGUACUUUCAAGUACUUGAGUGACAGGGUCUGGGAGAAAGUAAGAGGAUGGAUGAGAAGCUCCUCUCGGCAGCAGGCAAAGAGGUUCUCAUCAAGUCAGUUGUUCGGGCUAUACCAGUAUAUUCAAUGGCAUGUUUCAGAUUACCUCAGAGGCUGUGUGAGAACAUUACUUCUAUAAUUAGGCAGUUCUAGUGGGGCAGCAAACAAGGAAGAAGAAAACCAGCUUGGGUCUCUUGGGAUGUCAUGAAAAAGCCAAAGUACCUUGGUGGGAUGGGCUUCAGAGACAUUGAGAUUUUUAACCUAGCAUUGCUUGCUCGUCAGGCAUGCAUGGAGGCUUCUCAUGUCCCCACAAUCUCUCAGUGCAAGGAUGCUGAAAGCAGCUUAUUUUCCAAAUGUUGAAUUUUUGGAGGCAGAAUUGGGUAACCAACCUUCGUAGACACUAGUGCAUAACCGGGCUUUAGCACCGAUUCGUAAGGCCCUUUAGUGCCGGUUCUACAACCGGCACUAAAGUGUGGGGACUAAAGCCCCCCCUAGUACCGGUUCAACACGAACCGUCACUAAAGGGCCAUCACGUGGCACGAGGCGCGCCGUGGUCUGGGGGACCUUUUUUUGAAUUUUUUUGAAACAAAGCAAAAAUAGCUCACCUACUGGGCCAGCACGGCCUGCAUACGACUAGAAACCCAACCUCUAGUUGGGCCAGGGUGCAGGCCCGUACGGCCCAGUAGGCCCCAUAGGGCAGAAGACUUGCAAUAGGCCCACAAAGGCCUGUUUAGAGAGGAGCUCGACACGGCAGCCGCGGCGGGGCUUAUAAACCGGUGCGAGCUCCUCUCAACUAGCGAGGUGGGACUAAACAUUGUGCACUGCGGGUGGCAGCACACCCCUUUAGUACCGGUUGGUGGCACGAACACGUACUAAAGCGGGGGUCUUUAGUACCGGUUGGAGCCGCCAACCCAUACUAAAGGCCACCACCUCUUUAGUACCGGUUCGUGGCACGAACUGGUACUAAAGGUUCGCCACGAACCAGUACUAAUGAAUGCCGCCCACCUAGCCAUUAGAACCGGCAUUAAUGGUCAUAUUAGUGUCGGUUCAAUUACAAACCGGGACUAAUGAGUUUUACAUUAGGCCCUUUUUCUACUAGUGAGAUAUGGCGAGUGAGGGAGUCCUGGAUUAGGGCGUCUCCGGACAGCCGGACUAUCUCUAUUGGUCGGACUGUUGGACUAUGAAGAUACAAGAUUGAAGACUUCAUCUCGUGUCCGGAUGGGACUCUACUUGGCGUGGAAGGCAAGCUAGGCAAUACGGAUAUGGAUAUCUCCUCCUUUGUAACCGACCUUGUGUAACCCUAACCCUCUUCGGUGUCUAUAUAAACCGAAGGAUUUUAGUCCGUAGGAUAACAACCACAACAUACAAUCAUACCAUAGGUUAGCUUCUAGGGUUUAGCCUCUCUGAUCUCGUGGUAGAUCUACUCUUGUACUACCCAUAUCAUCAAUAUCAAUCAAGCAGGACGUAGGGUUUUACCUCUAUCAAGAGGGCCCGAACAUGGGUAAAACAUCGUGUCCCCGGCCUCCUGUUACCAUUCGGCCUAGACGCACAGUUCGGGACCCCCUACCCGAGAUCCGCCGGUUUUGACACCGACAUUGGUGCUUUCAUUGAGAGUUCCUCUGUGUCGUCGCCGUUAGGCUUGAUGGCUCCUACUAUCAUCGAUACCGAUGUGGUCCAGGGUGAGACUUUUCUCCCCGGACAGAUCUUCGUAUUCGGCGGCUUUGCACUGCGGGCUAAUUCGCUUGGCCAUCUGGAGCAGAUUGAAAACUACGCCCCUGGCCAUCAGGUCAGAUUUAGAAGCUUAAACUACACGGCCAAUAUCCGUGGAGAUUUGAUCUUCGACGGAUUCAAGCCUCUGCCUUGUGCGCCACGCGGUCACGAUGAGCAUGACUUAGCUCUCCCAUUGGACAGUGUUAAGGAGAUCGCAUCGGCAGCCGCUCCGACCCUCAAUUCAGAGCCAGUCGCGCCUUCCGCGGACGGGUGGAUGGACCCCUCCACGGAGGCCUUACCCUCAGCGGCGAUCGAGCGGAACAUCGACCUUGCCUUGCACGAGAGUCGUGUUGUUAAACUACCGGAUCCUUCUCCGGCCACGGACUCCGAACCGCCUGCGCCCGUUCCUAUCGAAUCCGAUUGGGCGCCGAUCAUGGAGUUUACCUCCGCAGAUAUUUUUCAGCACUCUCCCUUUGGAAAUAUACAGAACUCAUUAAGGUCUCUCUCCUUGUCAGGAGAAUCUUGGCCGAACUAUGUCCGGCAAGAUCGGGAUGCGGACGACGAAGAAAUUCGAUGCCCACCCACCACCCACUUAAUAGCCACUAUCGAUGACUCAACCGACAUGCUCGAAUUCGACUCCGAAGACAUCGAUGGUAUGGACAACGAUGCAGGAGACGAAGAGGAACCAUCGCCCACAGGGCGCUGGACGUCCACCUCAUCAUAUGACGUAUAUAUGGUGGACACACCAAAAGAAGACGACGACGAGGAACAGAAGGACGCAACGAAGGCUUGUUCCCUCGAGAAGCAGUCAAAGCGGCGGCGUAAGCGCCGCCCCAAAUCCCGCCUCGGCAGAAAUAACGAUCAUACAGACCUAGCGUUGGAGCAGGGUGAACCACCGCCGGACCACGACAAUACGGAGAAUCAAACCGAACAAACCAAUUCUGUCAAAGAUAAUAGUCCGGACGACAUAACGCCGGACAGGCACCCGGAGCAGCAGAAUGCCCGUCAAAGGCUUGUUGCCACUGCGAGGAGUCUAAAAAAGAAGAAGCAAAGGCUCAAGGCUGCGCAGAACACACUCCAAAUCAGAUGGAGUAAAGUACUCAACACAGCAGCGAAGUACGGCGGCAAUCGCCCCACCAAGAGCUACCCAAAGCGGAAGUUCCUACCUGAAUUCGAUGAGGAGGCCUUAGACCCCCCACAACCAAAAAUUAAAACAACCAUCUAGCCGGAUAGACGACCUCACGGCCAACACAAAGCGGCAAGCAAUGCCGCACAUGAGCCAAUACGCGGUCUACGCGAGGGCUCGCAUUAAAAGGACGGCGAAACCAGAUCCAUCUAUGGACCACGCAAGCGUGCUCCAGCAUAUGAUGCAACACAACAAACAUCCGAACAACGCGGUACACCCAGAUAUAGGGGUGCCGCACACCCCCUAUGUUUUACCGAUGAGGUGUUGGACCAUGAAUUUCCAGAGGGAUUCAAACCCGUAAACAUAGAGGCAUACGAUGGAACAACAGACCCUGGGGUCUGGAUUGAAGACUAUAUCCUCCAUAUCCACAUGGCUCGGGGAGAUGAUCUCCACGCCAUUCAGUAUUUACCCCUCAAACUCAAAGGGCCAGCUCGGCACUGGCUUAAGAGCCUCCCCAAAAGCUCCAUUGGAAGUUGGGAAGAGCUCGAAGACGCCUUUCGGGCAAAUUUUCAAGGGACUUAUGUCCGACCUCCGGACGCGAAUAAUUUGAGUCAUAUAACUCAACAGCCCAGAGAGUCAUCCCGAAAGCUUUGGAAAAGGUUUCUUACUAAAAAGAACCAAAUUGUCGACUGUCCGGACGCCAAAGCCUUGGCAGCUUUUAAGCAUAGCGUCUGUGACGAAUGGCUUGCCAGACACCUCGGCCAAGAAAAGCCGAGAACAAUGGCAGCAUUAACAAGCCUCAUGCCCCGCUUUAGCGCGGGUGAGGAUAGCUGGCUAGCCAGAUGCAGCACCAGCGACCCCAGUACAUCGGGAGUUAGAGAUGGAAACGGGAAAUCACGGCGCAACAAUAAUAACAAACGCCGGAAUAAAGAAGACAGCACGAAGAGCACGGCAGUAAACGCCGGAUUCAAAAGUUCUCGUCCAGGUCAGCAAAAGCCGCCCUCUAAAGGCGCCAGAGAUGAACCGUCCAGCCUAAACAAAAUUCUGGACCAAAUAUGUCAGAUCCAUAGCACCCCUGGUAAACCCGCUAAUCAUACCCACAAAGAAUGUUGGGUCUUCAAGCAGCCCGGCAAGCUCAACGCCGUACACAAGGGGGAGGAUACACCAAGCGAAGAUGAGGAUGAGCCUUUCAAGCAAGACACUGGGGAACAAAAGAAAUUUCCACCAGAAGUCAAAAUAGUAAACGUGUUACACGUGAUCAAGGGGAGAAACAAAACGGCACUCCCAGAAAAAUAUGCCCAAGGGCCUAUCACCGCGGAGUCUUGCCACUGGUCGUCUCAACCGAUCACUUUCGACCAUCGUGAUUACUCAGUAAGUAUCUGGCGUGCACGAUGGGCUGCCCUGGUAUUAGACCCAAUAAUUGACGGAUACCACUUCACACGAGUCCUGAUGGACGGUCGCAGCAGUCUAAACCUGAUAUACCAGGAUACAAUCCGCGAAAUAAGGAUAGACCCAACGAAAAUUUGCCAUAGCAAUACUACCUUUAAAGGAGUGACGCCAGGCCCAGGGGCUCAUUGCAGGGGCUCCCUGCUACUAAAGGUUAUAUUCGGAUUCCCCGAUAACUUCCAUAGCGAACAUUUAACCUUCCGCAUCGCUCCGUUCCAAGGUGGCUAUCAAGCACUACUUGGACGCGAAGCUUUCGCUCGCUUUAAUGCAAUACCACACUAUGCUUCCCUCACACUCAAGAUGCCCGGCCACGUGGCAUCAUUACAGUGAACGGAAGUAUUAAGCGAUCUUUGCGCGCCGAAGAGAAUGCGACUGCCUUGGCAGCCGCACACUAAAAACGGCCUCACCAACUAAAGCAUUUGAUAGGUCGUCAAGACCACGGGCGCGGUUAGACAAGUCCGACGCUGCUAUAUGUAAAUUGUAACGGAUUAAUGGCCACACCCCUAUUACAAAUACAAGGGGCCCAACACACGCAGACAAGUGGCAAUUUAUACUCAUUUCUAGUUAUACAUGGUUUCUUUAAAAACUAUCUCUCUGCACGACAACUUUUUCACCUAAAUUCCUCUCUUUUACAGAUGACCAUUGUGCUACACCCGUCCUGGAUACGGCACAACGGAGACACAGGCGCAGACGUGCAGCAGGGACCCGUUCCAAGGAUUCUUUUUAGAUUAAGACCCUGCGUAAACCUUUUUUACUGUCUCUUGUUGAUACACAUCCACCGAAUUCUCAGCACAAUUGAUAAUGAUGCUGACGUCUUGGCAUGUGGCCACGUCAGAAUAAUGCACGUACCUGGACACAAGGGGCUUCUUACAAAGGGCACUAUUUAGGCCCGGUUUAUACCAUAAAGACCGAACACCUUAGGGAGUGUUCGGCGUCGUGAGUUUGGCCUUAUAUGCAUCAGCUCCGAAUCAUUGUCUUUGGUCAAAUGUUGGGUUUUCCCGGCUCCUGUGUUUUGGUGCCUUACAUUCCGCUUUAUCGGCUAAGGCAGCACCAGGAGAACUACUGCGAUUGUGCCCUGGUUCAUCCGGACGAGCACCUCAGUAGAGAAAGCCGAAAACUGACUGUCAUGAUAUAGCGUGAGACUGGUCAACCACUCGAUGACCUAUCGAAAUGCUAGAAUUCCUCCGCCUUAACGAAGGGCCAUUUUCCGGCCAUGCAUGUACGCACCCCGAGAUCAGGAGAGUGCGGAGCCACCAGGGGCUAUCAAGUAGCCCCACUGUCAAACUCCUAUGGCUAAGUAAAAGUGUUAAAUCAUUAUAGUCCGGUUGCCUCGUUCGUUGCGCUAUCACCUUCUUAAUAGGACCAAGACGUUGGGUUAAGUGUGAACAAGCGUUUUUUGCGAGCACCUCCGCAUUAUAUGCAUGGGGGCUGAAGCCGACGACUGCAAUCUUUCAGGUUAUACACAUGUAUACAUAAACGGCUGCACAGGAGGCAUCAUAUUGCUUUCAGGCAAAAGUAUAAACACAGCCUUAAAAAAUUUCAUAAAAACAUUGUGUUUACAAUGGGAAUACAUGUCACUCAAACAUAAUAUUCUUCAAGCACUGGGACUCUAUCAAACGAGCACCCUCAAGAACCUCCUCGAAAUAGUGCUCGGUAGCCACUCGGCCUAUGGCCGAACCCUACGCCGCAACAACGGUAGCAUCCAUCUCCUCCCAGUAUGCUUUAACACGGGCAAGGGCCAUCCGCGAUCCUUCUAUGCACGCCGACCUCUUCAUCGCAUUAAUGCGCGGCACCGCACCAAGGACCUGCUGCACUAAGCUGAAAUAACUGUUCGGCUUAGGCUUUUCCGGCCAUAGCUGAUCCACAACAGACUUCAUGGCAAGUCCGGACAACCUAUUCAGUUCAGCCCAUUCGGCUAGUUGGUCAGUCAAUGAAAGAGGACGCUCUGGAACGUUGAAUUACGACCAGAAUAGCUUGUCCACUUCACGAUCUGUUUGACCUUGGAAGUACUUGGCCGCAUCGGCAGCGCUCGCCGCCAAGUCCAUAUACGCAUCUGCUGAACUCCACAGCUGAUCCAGAGGGGCAUACUGUGGAUCUCCGAACUUCCUCCAUAGCAUGAAGGGCUUCCCAGCCGCAAUAUCCCCGGCUUCCCACAGCUCCUCCUUCUUCGCUCUCAUAGCAGAGGGGGUGUCUUUUGUCUGCCAUCGUGGCCUUCUCAAGGUCCGUUGCCUUCGCUCGGUUUUCUUUUUCAAGGAGCCGGCAACGGUCGUCGGUGUCUUUUAAUUCUACGGCCAUCUUGGCCAUCUUCUCUUGGCUCUCGCAAUGUGCAGCCUUCUCGGCUUUCAACUCUUCGGCCACCUUCAAAGCAGCUGCAUUACUAAUCCUCGCUUGUUCCUUGGCUCGGGCAAGUUCUGCCCGCAUGGUUUCCACGGUGGCAGCUCCAUCUGCAGUCACAACAUAUUAAAGAUACUGGCAUCAUGCUGCUCUUACUACGUGGUAUUCACCAGAAAAUAACACUUACCAUGUGCCUCGUCAAGCCUCUUGUUAACAAGCUCAAUGUCGGCGUCCGCCGCAUCCAGUUGCCGUUUUAAUUCGGCAAACCCACUAGUCCGGCUAGCCACCGGAGCUUCCACCGCCUGCACAUAAAGGCAGUCUGGUUAUUGCCUGGGACUAUGAUCCUCUGUUCGCCGCCGUUCUCGUCGACAACCAGAGUCUCAGGGGCUACUAUCUACACAGGGCACACCUAACAUGUGCGGUACUAUCACGUACCUCAAAGCCUGUUAGUAGACUCAUAAAGGUUUCAUGUAAUCCGCUUUCGGCAGACGAAAUUCUUUCCAUCACCGUACCCAUCAGCGUACGGUGUUCUUCUGAGAUGGUCGCUCGCCCUAACAGCUCCCUCAGAACGUCCGACCGCAUACCAGACGAUGCCGGACUCUUUUGUUCGCUCUCCUCGAGAGCCGGACACUGGGGACUUCAGGGGUCUAUGGGAUUAUCUUCUGGCCUCACCGGAUCCGGAGAGGCCCUCCGUGACGACACUUCGGGGUCGCCCGCUUCUUGAGCGGAGGAGUCCAGGGGAGGCGUUUCGCUCUCCAUCAUCUCCGAAAGAAGAUCCCCUAAAGACGAGCUCAGCUGAGAAGGGCUAAGACCCGAACUGCAAGAUAUAUGCGGCGGUUAUUUUCUCAGAAGAAAGAUAGUAUACCUUCACUAUUAAAGUAUUUUUUGGAUCACUUACGACUCGUUGGAGGUCUGAUCCCCCCGCGGACUUUAUGCGGCAAAAGCNNNNNNNNNNNNNNNNNNNNNNNNNNNNNNNNNNNNNNNNNNNNNNNNNNNNNNNNNNNNNNNNNNNNNNNNNNNNNNNNNNNNNNNNNNNNNNNNNNNNNNNNNNNNNNNNNNNNNNNNNNNNNNNNNNNNNNNNNNNNNNNNNNNNNNNNNNNNNNNNNNNNNNNNNNNNNNNNNNNNNNNNNNNNNNNNNNNNNNNNNNNNNNNNNNNNNNNNNNNNNNNNNNNNNNNNNNNNNNNNNNNNNNNNNNNNNNNNNNNNNNNNNNNNNNNNNNNNNNNNNNNNNNNNNNNNNNNNNNNNNNNNNNNNNNNNNNNNNNNNNNNNNNNNNNNNNNNNNNNNNNNNNNNNNNNNNNNNNNNNNNNNNNNNNNNNNNNNNNNNNNNNNNNNNNNNNNNNNNNNNNNNNNNNNNNNNNNNNNNNNNNNNNNNNNNNNNNNNNNNNNNNNNNNNNNNNNNNNNNNNNNNNNNNNNNNNNNNNNNNNNNNNNNNNNNNNNNNNNNNNNNNNNNNNNNNNNNNNNNNAAUACCGGAUUUUCCAAACCCUCAGGGAGGGGGGCCAAACACCGAAUCAUCUUCGCCUUUGUUAGCCAGUCCUGGUCAAAGAGCGAACUCUCAGGAAUAACUUCAUGAUGAAUAAAAGACUGUGUGUUCGGCUAGAGGAUUUCUUACUUGUUCGGCGGCGCGGUUACUGCUCAGGCCCACGUCCUCGGUAGUAUCUGGACACUCUAUUUGAGGUUCGAAGAAUGACUUGUACAUCUCCUCGUGCGUCAGGCCGAGGAAACUUGGAAUGGCACACGGUCCUUCUGGGUUGAACUCCCACAAGCGAAGGGGCCGGCGUUUGCAAGGCUGGACUUGACGAACCAGCAUAACUUGUAUUACCACGACCAAAUUAAAAUCUCCCUCGAAGAGAUCUCGAAUGCGGCUUUGCAGUAUAGGCACGUCCUUGGCUGGACCCCAGUUCAGACCUCUGCUAAUCCAUGACAUUAGUUGUGGUGGGGGGCCCGAGCGGAAAGCGGGGGCAGCCGCCCACUUGGCACUUCUGGGAGCCGUGACGUAAAACCACUCCCGUUGCCAUAAUUCGGACACCUCUGGAAAGGAACCUUUCGGCCAUGAAGCUCCUGCCAUCUUGCCUAUUGAUGCACCUCCGCACGCUGCAUGUUGCCCCUCGAUCAUCUUCGGCUUCACUUCAAAGGUCUUGGGCCACAGGCCGAAGUGAGGGGUAAUGCAGCGGAAGGCCUCACACAUGAUAAUAAAUGUCGAGAUGUGGAGAAAGGAGUCCGGAGCUAGAUCGUGGAAAUCUAGCUCGUAAUAGAACAUCAAACCCCUGACGAAGGGAUCCACAGUGAGGCCUAGGCCUUGGAGGAAGUGGGAGAUGAACACGAAGUUCUCGUUGGGUUCGGGAGUAGGGACGACCUGCCCUCGAGCAGGUAGCCGAUGCGAAACCUCGGCGGUCAGGUAUCUGGCUUCCUUCAACUUCUUGAUGUCCUCUUCCGUCACGGAGGAGGGCAUCCAUCGGCCUUGAAGGCUGAAUCUGGACAUGAUUGAAGAUCCGGAGCACCUAACCUGGGCUUUGGGUAUUGGAACUCGAGACGGGGGAAGGGUUCGAUUGAGCACGAGAGGGAAAAAGCGAAAACCUUGUCCCUUUAUAAAGAGGGUGAAUAUCAAGCGUCCUCUCCAUAGCCGUUUAGGGCUUGCCUAUAAUCUAGGAGUCCUAGACACGGUUGGUGUUGGAAGCCUACCGUUGCUGGCUCAACUAGAGGACCGAGUCCCACGUAGUUCAUGCACCGGACAUUCCCUCCUUUUCUGUUACACGAUGUGCAUGACCUCCUGUAGAGCUGGGUCGUUACCAGCCUCUGUACCUGUAUAUUAACCCCUUCGUGGGCAUCAAUGAUAAUCACCAGUGUAUUCAUUCUCCAUCUUGGUAAUCAGAGCUCUCUUUCCUAUCCCUGUCUCUCAUGGACACUGGCAACAGCUCCGGCGGCCUUUCGAGCGGCGACCUGACGGGCGCCAUCCCUCCCGCUCCCGCUCCGGUGCUCUCCUCUUCUGAACUCUCCACCCCCGUCCUCUCCGCUCCGCCAGCAACCGCCCCUAGCACCAUGAGCUUGGUGACCCUGCCGUCGCCUCCCACCCUCCCUGACAUAGCGUCGUCCUCUGCCACCACUACCCCCUCCAUCCACACCCUCAACAACAUCCACAACCUCAUCCCCUUCAAGCUGGAUGUCCAAACCGGCAGCUAUUCAAAGUGGCGUGAACUCUAGCACUGCAUCCUCAUCAUGUACGCCGUCGAGAGCCAUGUCGACCACUACUCCGACCCACUGCUCCAAACUCCGGCGUGGCGCCACACCGAUCUGACACUCCUGCUUCUGCUCUACUCCACCAUCACCGACGGCCUGUACGAGGUCAUCCGUGGCGCCGGCAACACCAUGCAUCGCGUCUGGAGCCAACUCCACAAGUUCUUCCUCGCCAACCAACUCGCCCAGGCCGUGCACCUUAGUGCGGAAUUCCGCGCCCUCACCCAGGGGGAUCUCCGCAUCGCCGAGUACUGCGGGCGCCUCAAAGCGCUCGCGGACGCUCUGGCCGACGUCGACGAGCCCGUCACCGAUCGCACCCUGACACUGCAGCUUCUCCGCGGCCUCUCUCGUAGGUACCAGGUGAUCGCCACGGUCAUCCCGAUGCAUACUCCCUUCCCAUCCUUCAACCAGGCCCGUUCCCGUCUUCUUCUGGAGGAAAUCACCCAGGACGCCCAUGAUCGCUCCGACGGAUCUACCGCUCUCGCCAUCGGCCACGGCGGCGGCGGCGGCCAUGGCGACGGUGGCGGCGAGGGCUCCGGCGGCUCCUCCGGCCCACCUCCCUCAUCUGGCGACCGCGGCAAGGCUCCCAUGGAGCGCGGCAACAGCAGCACCGGUGAUCGCGGCCACGGACACAACGGUGGACGCGGGCGUGGCCGCGGGCGCGGACGCGGGUACAAUGACGGCCGCGGUUCGCCUGCUCUUCCUCCCGGCGGCUCCACUCCAUGGAUGGGCUACUUCGCACCGUGGGGGACGCCCUUCCUGCCGCCGCGCGCUCCCUGAGUUCCACCCAACGCAGCCGGGGUCCUCGGGCCUCGCCCCGGUGCUGCCCAGCACGCCUACCCCGCGCUGUACACUGGACCCGGCGUGCCACCCCAACCCUCUUGGGAUUAGGCGGCGCUCUAUUCCGCUAUGAACCAGAUGUCUCUCCAGUAGCCCGGCAGUGGCAACGGCGACUGGAUCUUUGAUUCCGGUGCCCCCUCCCAUGUCACUGGUAAUGCAGGUAACCUCGCCACUUCUCAUCCUGUCUCAAAACAUCAUGCUCCCAUCAUCGUUGGCGACGGCAUUCGUCUGCCGGUAGUUGCCACCGGCACCGCCUCCAUCCCCACAUCCUCUCGCCCCUUGCUGCUUCAUAACGUUCUCGUAGCACCUGAUAUUGUUCAAAACCUACUCUCUGUCCGUCAACUAUCCACUGAUAAUAAUGUAUCCGUUGAGUUUGACCCCCUCGGCUCUUUUGUGAAGGAUCUAGCCACCCGGACCCCCCUCAUGAGGCGCACUAGUUUCGGGCCUCUCUACCGCAGCGGCGCAUCCAGCUCUUCGGCGUUCUACACCAACUCCGGCGACCUGUGGCAUCGCCGUUUGGGGCACCCCGGCAGUGCCUCUCUUUCCCGUUUAGCACACAUUUUCUUCCCGAUUGUAAUAAUCUCCCUGCCGCCUCUGGAUCAUGUGAGGCGUGCCAAUUAGGGAAGCAGCCACGUCUGCCUUUUUCUUCUUCUUCUACCUCUGUUACUUGUUUUCCUUUUCAGCUUGUACACUGUGAUCUUUGGACGUCUCCCGUCCCUAGUUGCUCUGCCUGCAAAUAUUACUUAAUAAUAAUGGAUGAUUUUUCCCACUUCGCAUGGACUUUUCCCCUCCGUGCCAAAUCCGAGGCCACUGAAGUUCUCAAACGUUUCUUUCGCUUCGUACUCACACAAUUCCAUGUCGAUAUCCAGAGCGUCCAGUGCGAUAACGGCGGCGAGUUUCUUAACAUCUCUCUCCACUCUUCUCUAGGUGAACAUGGCACUGCCCUACGCCUCUCCUGCCCGCACACAUCACCCCAAAAUGGGAAAGCUGAGCGCGCCAUCCGCUCCACAAACGACAUACUUCGCACACUUCUUGUCCAAGCCAGCAUGCCCCCAAAAUUCUGGGUGGAAGACCUUCAUACUACCACAUACCUCCUCAAUAUACGACCCUCCCGAGCCAUCAACCACAACACACCAUACUUCAUGCUUUACGGUACUCACCCCAACUACGACCACAUUCGCAUAUUUGGCUGUUUGUGCUACCCCAAUCUCUCCGCCACCACUCCCCACAAACUUUCCGCACGCUCCACACCCUGCGUUCUUCUCGGCCUACCCCUCGAGCACAAAGGAUACCGGUGCCUCGACAUCUCCACACGUAAAGUUAUCACCUCCCGGCACAUGAUUUUCAACGAGCAUAUUUUUCCCUUCGCCACAGAAAAUCCCACUGCCCCCAGCCCCGUAUCCACCUCGGGAUCCCUCCCACCUACCUGGUCCAAUCCGACAGGAUUGUCCUCGGGAUUCCCCGCCCCAGUCGCCCCACCCCACGCACCCGAUCGCGUCACUCCCAACCAAUCCGCCCGCUGCGCCCCCACCGCUGCGCUCACUCCCGCUGGCCCACCACUCACCACCACCACUCCGGUCCCAACUCCCAGACCCCCCCAGUCGGCAGCUAGCUCACCAUGCAGCCAAUCGCCUGCCCGCUCACCAUGCAGCCAAUCCGCGACAUCCUCGCCAUGCACGUCGCCCCGCGCUCUCGCCCCGCCUCUGGCUGCCUCCCCACCAACCUCCCCGCCUCNNNNNNNNNNNNNNNNNNNNNNNNNNNNNNNNNNNNNNNNNNNNNNNNNNNNNNNNNNNNNNNNNNNNNNNNNNNNNNNNNNNNNNNNNNNNNNNNNNNNNNNNNNNNNNNNNNNNNNNNNNNNNNNNNNNNNNNNNNNNNNNNNNNNNNNNNNNNNNNNNNNNNNNNNNNNNNNNNNNNNNNNNNNNNNNNNNNNNNNNNNNNNNNNNNNNNNNNNNNNNNNNNNNNNNNNNNNNNNNNNNNNNNNNNNNNNNNNNNNNNNNNNNNNNNNNNNNNNNNNNNNNNNNNNNNNNNNNNNNNNNNNNNNNNNNNNNNNNNNNNNNNNNNNNNNNNNNNNNNNNNNNNNNNNNNNNNNNNNNNNNNNNNNNNNNNNNNNNNNNNNNNNNNNNNNNNNNNNNNNNNNNNNNNNNNNNNNNNNNNNNNNNNNNNNNNCCCUCCAUGCGCGGUGCCCGUCCUACCACCCAAAAACAGCCACCCCAUGCGCACACGAGCCAAAGCCGAUUUCCUCCAACCAAAAUCCCUCUUCACUCUCGCAGCCACCACCGAUCGCAUCUCUCCUCUCCCUUCCUCCUACAAACACGCCCUCAAAGACCCAAACUGGUACAACGCGAUGCUUGAGGAGUAUACUGCUUUGUUACAAAACGAGACUUGGCCGUUGGUUUCUCCCCCUGCAGGUGUCAACGUGGUGACGGGGAAAUGGAUCUUUCGCCACAAGCUGAACCCCAACGGCUCCCUCGCUCGGUACAAGGCGCGUGGGUCCUGCGUGGCUUCACUCAACAACAUGGCGUCGACUUCGAGGAGACCUUCAGCCCCGUCGUCAAGCCGGCGACCAUCCGUGUCGUCCUCAGCCUCGCCGUCUCCGCCGGCUGCGCCAUCCAUCAGCUGGAUGUGAAGAACGCAUUUCUUCACGGCCACCUCGACACCGUCGUCUACAACCAGCAGCCAUCCGGGUUCGUCGACGCUGCGCACCUGUCUCACGUGUGUCGCCUGCAUUGCUCACUCUACGGGCUCAAACAGGCCCCCCGGGCAUGGUUUCAGCGCUUCACCACCUACCUCGCGCGUCUCGGCUUCGUUGUAUCCAAGAGUGACAACUCUCUCUUCAUUCUUCAUCGCGACGGCGCCACCGCUUAUCUCCUCUUAUACGUCGAUGACAUUAUCCUCACUGCCAGCUCCGCCUCCCUGCUCCACCAUGUCAUCUCCCAACUCCACCAUGAGUUUUCCAUGACUGACCUCGGCGAGCUCCAUCAUUUCCUAGGGAUCAAUGUCACACGCAGCUCCCGCGGCUUGUUCCUCUCGCAACACCAAUAUGCUCUCGAGAUACUUGAGCGCGCCCGCAUGAGCAAUUGCAAGCCCAUCGCCACCCCCAUCGACACUCGCGCAAAACUUUCCGCCACCGACGGUGCUCUUGUUUCUGACCCGUCCCUCUACCGCAGCUUGGCCGGCGCUCUACAAUAUCUCACUCUCACACGACCCGAUAUCACCUAUGCCGUUCAACAGGUCUGCCUCUUCAUGCAUGAUCCCCGGGAGCCGCACUUCAUCGUCCUCAAACGCAUCUUGCGCUACAUUCGCGGUACCCCGCAGCUCGGCCUUCACCUCCGGCGCUCCUCCAACCACCGCCUCGUCGCCUACUCUGACGCCGACUGGGCGGGUUGUCCUGACACCCGCAAGUCCACGUCGGGCUAAUGCAUCUUCAUCGGCGACAACCUCGUCUCUUGGUCCUCCAAGCGGCAACAGACCGUCUCCCGGUCCAGCGUGGAGGUGGAAUACAGGGCGGUGGCCAAUGCUGUGACCGAGGCGUGCUGGCUGCGUCAACUUCUGCACGAGCUACGGCGUCCUCCGGAUCGGGCAACAAUCGUCUACUGCGACAACGUGAGCGCCAUGUACCUCUCCACCAACCCUGUGCAGCAUCAGCGCACGAAACAUAUCGAGAUCGAUCUUCAUUUCGUGCGUGAGCGGGUUGCUUUUGGCGAUGUACGCGUCCUCCACGUCCCGUCUGCAUCGCAGCUCGCCGAUAUCUUCACGAAGGGGUUGCCAUCGACCGUCUUCCUCGACUUCCGGUCCAGCCUCAACGUGCUCGACGACCCCGUUGUGGCUGCGGGGGGCUGUUGGAAGCCUAUCGUUGCUGGCUCAACUAGAGGACCGAGUCCCACGUAGUUCAGGCACCGGACGUGCCCUCCUUUUCUGUUACACGAUGUGCAUGACCUCCUGUGUAGCUGGGUCGUUACCAGCCUCUGUACUUGUAUAUUAACCCCUUCGUGGGCAUCAAUGGUAAUCACCAGUGUAUUCAUUCUCCAUCUGUUGGGUUACCCACGACCGCAUUAACGAGAAUCCCGUAAUUGGGGGAACACGAUCUCUGCUUUGACAAGACGUGUCAAGAAACCGCCUCGCAUUAUGUGUGGAGCUGGUUGAAGAAAAAUGGUUCGAAUAAUCACCGGGCCAUGACAUAACGUCAUGCUGCCAAAACAAGUCAGCAAAUUAGAAUUGCAAAAAUAUUAUUCUCUCUACGGUGGUAUAUGGAACUUAUUUUGCAGAGUCGGACACUAUCCUCGUUUUCAAAUUCUUCUGUGAUGUAUUCAGAGAAGGAACCCGCCUUGCAAUGCCGAAGACAAUACCGCGCGCCGGACUCAUCGUCAUUGAAGCCUGGUUCAGGGGCUACUGAGGGAGUCCUGGAUUAGGGGGUCUCCGGACAGCCGGACUAUCUCUAUUGGCCGGACUGUUGGACUAUGAAGAUACAAGAUUGAAGACUUCGUCUCGUGUCCGGAUGGGACUCUACUUGGCGUGGAAGGCAAGCUAGGCAAUACGGAUAUGGAUAUCUCCUCCUUUGUAACCGACCUUGUGUAACCCUAACCCUCUCGGGUGUCUAUAUAAACCGAAGGGUUUUAGUCCAUAGGAAAACAACCACAACAUACAAUCAUACCAUGGGCUAGCUUCUAGGGUUUAGCCUCUUCGAUCUCGUGGUAGAUCUACUCUUGUACUACCCAUAUCAUCAAUAUCAAUCAAGCAGGACGUAGGGUUUUACCUCCAUCAAGAGGGCCCGAACCUGGGUAAAACAUCGUGUCCCCUGCCUCCUGUUACCAUCCGGCCUAGACGCAUAGUUCGGGACCCCCUACCCGAGAUCCGCCGGUUUUGACACCGACAGCGAGCUAUGCUUGAUGGAAGGGACAUUUUUAAGCAAGGCAUUAUCAAGAGGAUUGGGAAUGGCCACAACACUAAUAUCUGGGAGACCAACUGGCUUCCUAGAAUAGGCCCUUUGCGACCGAUCACUUCGCUAUCGGUAAAUUCACCAACGCUAGGAGCCGAACUAAUCGAUAACACAUCAGCGUCUUGGCGAGAGGAGCUGAUUCAUGCUACGUUUUUACCCGUCGACGCGGAUGCUAUUAUGGCCCUCCCACUCUGCACGAGGUCGGUGGAGGACUUCUGGGCUUGGUCUGGCGAGCGGCAUGGUAUUUUCUCUGGCAGAUCGGCUUAUAGAAUGAUAUUGAACAAGAAGUAGCACCGAGAAAAUUGGCUAUAUGAGCAUGCAGGGGCGUCAGAUUUGAGGGAAAGCUCUAAUGCUUGGACAGCGUUGUGGCACACUAGGGUUCCAUCUAAAAUGAAAGUUUUUAUAUGGCGGCUAGCAAGACAUUCGAUGUCGACAGCGGAUCUUCUCCAACAUCGAAAUAUGUCCACGUCCCACUUAUGCGCCUUAUGUGGGUGUGAGGAUUCAUGGAGGCAUGCCCUGCUAGAUUGUACUACGUCAAGAUGCAUAUCAUCCUUAGUUGAAAAUUCUCUGACGGAAGUCGUGAGCCAUAACAGGGAUCCUAAUGCGAAGAACCGGCUUCUUGCAAUGAAUGAUGUACUAUCCUAAAAGGAUCUUGUUCCUCUAGUAGUAACGUUAUGGGCUGUUUGGAAAGCAAGACGAUGCUGUGGUUGCAACCAAUCGGUGACGAGGAGUUGCGGCUGCUAUAUGCCGGGAUCACGAUGGUACGUUUCAGGGGGCAUCGGCUAUAGUUAUCAAGGGAAUAUGUGAUCCACAAACUUUAGAAGCCCUAGCUGUGCGGGAGGCUCUAGCCCUUGCUGAUGUUCUCAAUCUUCAAUGGAUACAUGUUGCUUCAGAUUGUAAGGUGGUUUUGGAUGAUCUCAAGCAGGGGAACAAGGCAAGAUAUGGAGCUGUUAUACAUGAAAUCAUGGAUCAUAACUUUUCUUUUACAACUUGUAACUUUUGCCAUGAGUUUAGAAGUUCGAAUUUCGAGACUCACAAUCUAGCGAAGCAUGUCUUAAGGUUAGGGGUGGGCGGCCAUGUUUGAUUAGGGCACCCCGGUGAUAUUUCUUUUGUACCUAUAAACUUUGGGUCCGGUUAAAUAAACUUCGCGCGAUUGUCUAAAAAAAACCUACUUGCAUGAUUACCAAGGAGAACCCUUUCAUACAGGUAUACGUCGGCAGAUUUCGACAAAGGUAUUACGGCAGUUGUCUUUUUGCUUGUCCCAAGCUGGAUAUGACGGCAAGUUUAAUUUCUUGGACUACAUAGUAGUGUUCUCGAUGGCGCCAAUUCUAGAUGGUCCUCAAGCUUUUGGUUUUGCAACUAAACCUAAUACUCCCUUCAUUUUUGUAUACAAUGUCAUUAUCAAAAUUACAAUUUGCAACUAUACAAGGCCACUAACAUUAAUCGAGGCAAAAUUGAUGGCGUUUGUCUCGUAGUAGCACCCAAGAACAUUAAUAUCCCUUGUGUGAAUGCGGGAGUGAGAAGGUUGGCUUGCAUUCCCAACAUUAAUCAACCAACGAGAAGUAAGAGGGUUGGCUUGUUGUGCGUGGGAGAGAAAAACUACAUUAAUUAACACGACAAACAAGGUGACAAGCUAGCUUGCAACAUUGACUUAAACAUUGUAUUGAUUUUUACCUUGGUAUCUGUAAUAUGGGUCUGUGGCCUUGUAUACAAAAAUGGAGGGAGUAUAAUAAAUAGAAAUGUGAGUAAUUUCAAUUUUCUUCGUUUCAGCUUUUACUCCAUUUAGGAAAGGUUUUCUACUACCUGCUCACUAAUAAUGAGCUAAAACGACUUAUAAAAAUUUACAGAGGGAGUACUUUUUACACCAUUUCGUGAUCUAUGAGGUGGGUCCUGAAUUUGGAGUGGUGUGAAAGACAAAUUGUAAUACUUUCUUUUUUCAAAAUCUUCUUAGUUGAGUCGAACAACUAAACUAAAAAAAUCUGUUUAGUUGGAUACAACUUUUUCUCACGAUCGUCGGGUCUAUGUAACGCACACCUUUGUCUUGAUACACCAUUUUCUUCACAUCACCAAGCUACUUGCUCUUUCUUUCACCUCAUUUUUCUUCACAAUAUUUGCUUUCGCUUGUCGCAUCAUAUUAGACAUAAAUCAUCGACGCUUUACCUGACAAAAGAACCACUCGAGGAGUUAUGGCCCCAUGACCCCCAAGUAUAACUACGGAGGACAGAAGAGGCCUAUUGAUCAUAGGGUGGCUCAAACCUGCGAUUCUGUGUAGCGUAGCACCACUUUUGGGGGGCAAGAGGUAGACUCCUCUUCGUACUCCCUCUGGUUCUGUUUCACAAAAUUUUCUGAAACUAAACCUAAUAUAAUAACUUUUUCAGUUUUCCCACCUAUUUUCAAAAUCUAUUUUGGCCUUAGUUACCCUGCUCAACUUUCAUAAACGCCCAUGACCUCUCGUAGUGCUUCUCCAUGGGACAAUGAAGGGCUGCAAGUGGGAGGAGAGAGGGCAUUGAGGAGGGUGAGGAGACGUGAUGAUGUAGGGUCGUCUUUCAUAACAGGUGCUCCAGGAUGCCUCAAUGUUGUUCUAGUACAAAUAACAACGUAAAUUGGGGUGCCAUAAUGCUAGCAAGCGUCACAGUCGGCAUUUGUAACAAUGGGCGUAUAUGGCAGCGAUUUAACGGGUUGACGUAUACUUGCGAGAUCACACAACGUUAUUGGUUUGACCUUGUUCGGCCACUACUCCAUACUGUGGCCUUGUCCCUUUGAGGGAUGUAGCCUCGAUUACAAUUUGUCUACACGAUACAACUUCAAUGGUGACCCUUGUUGCUCGACUGGGGUGAUCGGUGAAAACUUACCCAAACCCACUAUCCAAAUAGAAGCGUAGAACUCAACAUUCAUCCGAGUCUGUUUUCAACUAGAAACCUAAACCUCAUAGAUAACCUCACGAGAGCGUGGAGUAGAAUUGGAUGAUUUCUUUGCGUAAUUCUUUUUUGUACGAAAAACUAGCUUUUAUUAAUUUUAAAAUUUCAUGUACUUCGAAGCUAACAUUCAUGACUACAUAAAUUCAAUAUAUCUCAAAACGAUGAUUAUGUGUUUUAGACUAAAAUAUGCAUAUAUUUGAAAACAAAUAUUUGUUACUUCUAAAAAAUGGUUUACAUGCAAAAUCAUAUACGAUGAUAAAAAAGACAAAGCUAUAUCAAAUAUUUAAAAAAUAAAAUCAAUAAGUGGAGUAAAUAGUGAAAAAAGCGAAAAGGAGGAGUAAAGAAAAUGAAAAUGAAAAAUGACCUGAUAGUGGACCGACCCAACUAUGCAGGACACAGGAUUCUUGUGUAGUGCGGCUUGCAAGAAAAAAAAAAUUGAGAGAGAAGGUUUGCAAAAUUUGGGGAAACGUUGAUACCGUGUGAGAUUAGACUGACCACUCUGGCCCAGUAAUUCAUAUAUAUAUUACAAAAGUAAUCACUGGUUUUCUAUUAAUGGAAACAAUUAUUUUUAUUAAUGGAGGAAAUUUAAAUAUAUAAUGAAUAUUCAUGCAACUGUAAAUAAACGUUUAUGAAAUUUUAAAACAUGUGCAUCUCAUAUUUUAAAAUUGUUCGCUACAUAGAGAAAAAUUCAUAUAGUCCGUCCUCGCCAAAUUGUGGUGCAUAUAUUUGUUUUCCAAAGUCCAACUCAAUGAGUUAUAGUAAAAUAAGAACAUUUACAAUACUGAAUACAUAACAUACAAAAAUAUAUUUCAUGACAAAUCCUUUGGUACUGUAAUUGUCGAUAGUUUUUAUAUGAAUUUGGUCAAUGUUUGCAAAGUUUGGCUUUUCAUAAAACUUAUCUGCAUUAUUAUUUGGCAAGAAAAUUCCCCACAAAAAAACUUGGCUAGAAAGAAAGUAUAUAUUAAUCUUUUCAAAGACUGAAAAUCCAUCUCUGCACCCGAGCUCAUCUGCACCCGCGCUAACGAAAAAAAUCAAAAAAAUGCUAGAAAAAUUAAAAAAAUCCUUUUUUCUGUGGUAAACAAUUUGAUGCAUGAGGUAUACGCUCCAAUUUUCAAAUUAUUUGAACAUCUGAGAAGCUCUCAAAAAAAGGGGGGUCUGUAAAAAUGUUUACUGUUCAUGUACUGUUUUGACCCGAUUUGUCUUUUUUGCUGAGAGCUGCUUAGCUGUCCAAAUGACUUGAAAUGUGGAGCGGGCCUCACGCAUCAAAUUUUCUACCGCACAAAAAAAUUGCGGAAUUUUUUGAUUAUUGUUUGAAUUUGUUACGAUUUUUUUUCUAACCAGGUGCAGGGCACCGAAACGCCCUACUCAAGCUUUGAAGACAGGUUUUCACGUAAUUUUGGAAUUUUUUUUACAUAUUUUAUCUUAAAAAACAAAAAUGAAAAGGGAAAUGGGAGAAUAUUGAGAACCACGGAGAAGAAAGAACACGGGACAAAUGGAAAAAGAAAAAACAAAAACAUUUUGCACCGAUGAGGCGCUUCUUUCUUCCGCAAUGGGUGAUAUAUAGGAAUCGGGAGCGCAGCGCAUACGAUAGUGCACAUGCUGGAGUUUUCUCCUAACAUUGAAAAAUAAAAGUUUUCUCCUAAAAUAAUCGAGCACGGCUAGCUCCUGCCAAAUGUCGAAAGAGAAGUGUAUAUCUUCACUAUGUAUACAAGUGUUACGAUUGAUAGUAGUUCUCCGUGCCCACGUCAUGCCAAAUGUAAAAGGAGAAGUUUAUAUCUCAUUAUUAUGUAUACAACUAUAAGUAGGAUUGAUAGUAAUUCUCCAUGCCUUUGCAUUAGAAAGUGGGAAUUCGAUCGUUACACAAUAUGUGGAUGCAUGCAUGAUUUGCUGCUGCUCGUACAUAAAAUACACAUUUCAAGUGCUGGUAUUUAUAUUGGCUAUUGGUUCUGUGGCCUUAUUCAUUCAUCAGGUGUCGUGCUGGCGAGCGCUGCCGACUAUUAGGUAGUAGCUCGUCAUUCAAUCACGAGUUCACCCUGGAGCAGCUAAGCCUGAUCUGCCCUUGCGUCCCCAUCUUCGGCGCGAUGUUGCCCAUCUUGAUCAUGGCCGUCGUGAACGCGCUGCUGAACGCCGCCGGGUUGGACGCGAAGUUCCGGACGGUGUUGUCGGUGGUGUCGUUGUUGAACAGCACCUGGUCCGAGUGCAGGAGCCCCUUCUGUGACAUGAGGUUGGUGUAGUAGGCGUUGUGGAGCGUGUUGGCCGUGGUCGUGUCCAGGUUCGCCAGGCUGCCGUCACCGUUGGACCGGGGGCAGUUGGCCCGGAGAGAUGUGGCGAAGGUCGUGUCGAUGUUAGUCUCGUUGUAGAUCCUGUCCUUGAAGGUCCCGCACUGCGCCUGGCCGAUGGUGUGCGCGCCGGAGAGGGCCACCAUGUCGACCGUAAGGAGGCCCUUGUUGCUGAAUGCCAGCUCAAGAUCUGACCGGCUAGAUGUAGGGCCUGGGAGGUCGCUGUUUGCCGCCGCCUCGUUUGCAUCUAUGGAAUCCCUUCUUCCCAGAGGGACUUCCAUGAUGGCCCUCCGAGCUGCACGCGAAGGAUACGAAGCAAACGGUUAACGAUGGCAUCCAAUCGAUGAUGUACACGAUCGUAAGAUGAUAUUCUUACGGCGACGACGGAGUCACGGGCAGCGACAGUGAGGAUGUCGGCGCAGGAGACGGUCUGGGCGCAGAUGGCCUCGAUCUGUGUCUUGAUGCUGUCGAUGACGCCGAAACCCCGCAGUGACCCGUUGUUCGGGAUAGCGUUUUGUUCCAUGCCAGACAGCAGAACAGACGCGUCACAGCCCUGCACAUCACAUGCUUAUAGUGUUUAGUAAGCAAAACCUAUACAAAACAGGGUACGUGACGGCUAUCGGGCUAUGCAUGCAUGUGGCCAACUUACUUGGACGAAGCAGUCGUGGAAGUGCAGCCGGAGCAGCGACGCGCCCAUCCGAGGAUCGCUGCUCACGGCGGCCAUGACGCCGCUCUUGAUGGUGGCCAGGGCCCUUGUGCAGGAUGUGUCGUAGAACGUCGGCGACAGCUGCCCCGACACCACGGCGGCCAGAGCCACGAGCACCACCAGAGAAAGGUAAGAGGCAGAGGCGGCCAUGGUUAGCUAGCUAGCUACAAGAGCAAAGCUACGCCGGCUUACUAGCUACCUGGUGGUGGUGGAGUGGUGGUGCUUAGUGGAUUGUGCAAGAGAGUGGUGCAUCGCAUGCAUAUUUAUAGACAAAGAUUUAGCUCACGUGCACCUGCAGAUCGAUCCCGGUCAGCUCAUCCAAAAUUUAGGUCCCAUUAGUCCAACGUUAGUCUCUGACACCUGUUCGAUCGGGUAUACCGCGAGCUUCCUGCUUGAGCGAUCUCUCUUGGCGUAUUCAAGGCAGCUUCCAGCUUGAGCCGCUACCGCCAACACCAACACCUGAAUUUUCCUUGCAACAGGGCCAACUUGAGCGAUCUCUCUUGGCGUUUAUCACGCAAAAAUCGGCAAAACAUGGAACGAUCUCUCUUUUUUCAUCAUUUCCAUGCUAGCGGGCGCCUGGAGCCAUGUGUGCGUGGACACCAACCAUUUGGCCUUACGUACGAAUAGUGGUGGGGAGUCGGCGUUGUUCCAAGGCGAUUCACGCUCGUUUUGACCGGUGCGCAGUCAUCUUGCGCUCCCGUCGCCUUCGGCCAACACGAGAUAAUUCGGCAGCUGAGACAGUACUGAGAGAUAAGCCUGGCUUCUCAAACGCACGGUGGGAAUGUUGAGGCAGAACUGAGGCCGCACAGCCGCAGGCCAGCACCGACGGACGUUUAGGCCGGCCGUAACGUGGCCCGAUCUGUAGGCCAGAUGCAUUUUCUUAGGCUUCCUUGCCUCCGAAGAAUUGCUGGUUAGAUUUGAGUUUCUGAAGCAUGGGCAGGAUGAACAACGGAAGUUGAGGCGGCAUUACCGUGUGUAUUUUUUUCCCAGAAACUAUAACUACAAUUGGUCGAACAUUGCUUGUUAAGUCGGUUGUUUCCUCCCAAGCGGUGUACUCCAUCACACCUCUCAUCGUCCAACCGAGCACUCUCCAAAACCUCAACAAAAUUGAGCGGGAUUUUCUUUGGUCUGGCUCUGACAAGACGACAGGUGCCGAGUGUAAGGUCAACUGGAAGAUUGUAUGCUAUCCCAAUGAGUACAGUGGCCUUGUCGUCCUCAACAUUGCCAAAUUUACGAGAGCUCUGGGCCUUUGUUGGCCGUGGUAUGAAUGGAAAGAGCCUAACAAGUUGUGGGUGGGGCUUGGAAAUCCAUGCACCUAGUAGGACCUAGAUUUUUUAUAUGCUUCCACCACUAUCAUUGUGGGCAAUGGCGCGAAGACACCAUUUUGGGACUCCCCAUGGCUCCUUGGCCAUAGGCCUAAGGGCAUUGCGCCGCUCAUUCUUGAAGCCUUGAGAAAGAAGAAUUGUAAGGUGCGCGAAGCCCUUAAAGAUAACGCUUAGAUCCUCAAGAUCAAACGAAACAGUAUCAUCUUUGCUGCCCACAUUUGGCAGUUUUUUACUAUUUGGAUGCUUGUGCAUGAGUUCCCUCUUGAUGAACUUGUGGAGGAUGACAUUCGCUGGAAGCACUCGAAUGAUGGAAUAUAUUCGGCAUCCACUGCAUAUAAAAGCACAAUUUCUUGGGAUUACUCUUUACCCAAUGGAUCGCAUGAUAUGGAAGGUUUGGGCUCCACCAAAAGUCAAGUUCUUUUCUUGGCUCGCGAUCCAAGAUCGGAUUUGGACGGCCAAUUGCUUGGAGAAGAUGGGAUGGGCAAACUAUGGGCUUUGCCCACUGUGCAAGAGAGAGCAGGAAGCCAGACCGCAUCUUUUCUAUAAAUGUUGCUUCUCCUUCGACUCUGGCGUUUGGUCCUUGAGAAAUUUGGCCUUCCUCACGAUGACACUUUGACUUGGCACAACGAGGACUCGAUGUUGGCUUUGGUGAGACAAGAGGACAGAUGCUAGAACCGCGAAUAGACGUGCGAGGACGUCCCUAACCAUGCUUGUCUAAUGGACCCUCUGGAAUGAGAGGAAUGCUAGGGCCUUCUGACACAAGAGUGCGCCGCCCCCAUCGUUGUUGCGCUUAAUUGUUGAUGAGGCUAGAAUUUGUGUUACCACGGGUGCUAAACACCUAGGGCUUAUUGUGUUGAGUGAGUAAUUGUCAGGACAUGAUAUCGAGUUACUUGUAAACCUCUAACUUCUUCUUAUUUAAUAGAUGAGGCAAAUAUUAUGCCGCCGUUUCAAAAGUAAUAAUAAUGAGAACUAGGCUAUAGCCUAGUGGCAAGGGAGCGCAGUGGCGUCUCCAGCAACCAGGGUUCGAGCCACGUCGGGGAUGAAUUUCUGGUUUCUCACAAGGGAUGCUUCUCCUAUAUCAAUAAACCAUGGGUGCUAGUGCCCAUGAGUUUCAUCUUUUUAAAAGUAAUAAUAAUAGGGUUACAAUCGGCUACCACGAGAACCAUGUACUACAAUCGGGGAUAUGGUGCAACAAACAUGAGGCGUACCAUGGGAUCUACCAUAAUUAGUUAGGGGCAACCCUUGUCUGUUCAUGACUAAUCUCCUAAGGAUAAACACAUGACCUUUAAGGAGCUUUCUGAUAUCAAACAACAUGUAACCAUACAUGCAUCUUGUAAGACGAUGUGGUUUCUUUUAAAAGAAAUCGGAGAGGUGACUCUCUUUAUUAAAAAAACAUACAUGCGUCGAUCAAAGCUAGACUUAGCUGACAGAGUAACGGACCAGUCCGACUGAAUAUGAAGGUGUCAUUGGACCACUGUAAAGCUGAGAGCUAAGCUUUCCAUAAGCACACUAAUUUCAGCCUCUAAUGCGUCAUUUCAAUUGAGUAGAUAUCGACAAGAUGCAAAUAUAGUCCAGCCUGUUGGGUUCCGCAAUAACUGCCUGUAUAACAAAUAACUAAAUUCGUACUCAAGAUAUUCAUUAAAGCUAAUUCCACAGACCCAAGCAUGCGUGUACAGAGACAACUCCAAUAAUAGCCAAGCCCUGUUAGACUGUAGGGUUGCCCAUGCCUAAGUCUAUCUACUUGUAGUUGGGUUCUCUAUACGACCAUCAACACUGUUUUGGUCUAACUUAACCUUCUCAACUCGCAUAGAGGAAGGCCGAGGUAAAGACAGUGUUUUGCCUCGUGAAAGCACACGAUGUCGAGGAUCGGCUGCAAGUGGCAGGAGAUGGCGGUGGAGGGUGAGGAGAUGAGGCACGUAGGGUCGGGAAAGUAUCCGGUGCUCCCAGCCUUGGAGUACUCCCGGUACUCCAAUGUCAAUAAACAUUUUUUUAAUAUUUCAAAAAAUUCCGAAAAAAAUUAUGAAUGUUCAUAAUGAAUGUGACUACAAGCCCGAAAAGUUUCAGGUCCAAACUCGGAUCACACAUUGAGAAACAAAAAUGUGAAAUCUAGGAUGAAUAGUGUAAAGAAGAGACAAAAGCAACAUUGAUACUAUUCAGAUCUGUAUUUUUCUUUUUUUUUCUCAAUGUACAUUUUGAUGUUGGACCUAAAUAUUUUAUGGGAUGUAGUGACAUUCCUUGUGAACAUUCUCAUUUUUUUUCUGAAUUUUUUUGAAACAUUUAAAAAUGUUUUUGACAUUGGAGCACUGGGAGUACCCCAAGGCUGGGAGCACUGGAUACUUUCCCACAUAGGGUCUUCUUAAUACCAGGUGCUCUAGGAUGCCUCAGUUUUGUAAAAGGCAAUUGUAAGAAUGGGCAUAUACGACAAUUAUGCAAUACGUCGAUAUGCGAGAGUGGGAUAACGAUGUUUAUUAAGUAGUUACACGCGUGCAGAACUACUAAUUGGGUGUGUCGCCGACCCUUGAUGGGUGGUAUAUCAUAGUGGUAUAUCAUAGUGUAGCCUCCGGUAUAGAUUGAGAGUGUCGAGAGAAACAAAAGAUGAAUAUGGGGAAAAUGGAAAAUCAAGAAUCAAGAAAAACAAAAGAAGGGAAAUAAUAGAAAAGGAACAAGAAAAAACAGGAAAAGAUGGAAACAAAUAUGGGGGAAAUGCGUCGCGUGUAUUGGACAGGGCCAGCAACACAAGCGGAGCUAUGCCAUCUCCCGCAGUGGGUGGCUUACAAGAUUGAGUAAUGGUACAUGUACGUACGAGCUCGUGUUUAUGAAGAUUAAAUACAAGAUUUGUUGGAAGCUUACGAUUGUUAGAAUUGUGUCGAAUAUUAUUGUACAAGGUAGGUUAUAGUUGGACUUGGUUUUAGACUAUGUGUAGACAGAAUAGGAGUUGUGUCCUAAUAUGACACUUGUAUCCUAUGCCUCUCAUAUAUAUCGGGGGUAGACACACGAUGUAACCUAUGCCAACAUAAUAGCACGGGCACGCGGGGGAGCCGGCGGCGUGUGCCGGCGCCCAGGCGGCCAGGGUGCGGUAUUGUAACGGUGUCAUGGAAAGGAGCGCCCGUAGUCAUGCCCCGGGGGUGUAGCCAUAUCGAUGAACCUCGUUAACAAAUCUCGGUGUCGUGCUGGUGUGAUUUCUUGAUCCUCGAUAGAUUGAUGGAACGACUCGGAUUUAUUCUAACAAAUGGUAUUAUGAGCUAUGGUUGUGAAGAGGCUGUUUGAUUGAUCUAGAGAAGGGCGACGAAGGACGUCUGAUAACUCGGCCAUGGUGGUCGGAAGAGUUUUCGAUGGACGUGAGAAUUGUUGCAGGAAAAGCAAUCGGAAGUGGCAUGCAAAGAACGCGAGCAAGCAGCCGGCGCGGGUUUCUCUACCUGAUCGAAGUCGUAUGGUGAGGCGGCGGCCAAGGCAGGCAGAUGGGAGCAGCAGGAGUCCGCCUGCAGCGGCGACAUCAAGCUGCUAGAUCGGGCGUGCGGGGCAGGGCAGCAAGGCGUGCAACAGAUCGGAUCGAGAUGCGGCGGCGUAAUGCUAGGGCAGCGAUGCAGGUGCAUGCGCAACCAAAGCAGGAGACGGUGCUAGCGGGCCAAGGCGCAGGCAAGUUUCCAGGCGCAUAGACGUGCGCGCGCUGAGGCCAAGGCUUGGCAGGAGCCAGCGGCAGGGGUACGUGGCAGUACGUCGGUACGUGAGGCUAGGAAUUGGAGCUGGCUCGUUGACGUGUGGCACGCGAGGCAACAUGUGCAUGCAAAGCUGGAGCUGCGUGUGAGAUUUGUUUGGAUUAAAAAAAGAGCACGAGUGUCUAGGCUUCACAAUUGAGAUACGAGUUUGUGUUUGUGUACGUGGGCAGCUAGGAGAUGGAUUUUUUUUUCAAGUCUUUGUUGCUAGAGGUACAUGGAGAGCACACGCAAAUUGUGACGAGCAAAGAUAAUUGUGCAAAGAAUUCUUGGGGUCAGGUUUGCAUGAAAGUUUUUUUUCUGUCAAGUUUGCGAAGAGGGCUCGAAGAGUGUGUGAAGACGAGGACAGUGUGUCGUGCGGAUCAUGCAUACACAGGGCGUCAAGCAAGACACGAAGAUGUGCGGGCGGACACGACGCAGGGUGGAGUAUGGUUGCAGUUGGAUAGUUUCGGCUGAGUCAGAUUGGACUGUCUGACGGAUCGACAGGAAGACGGCGGUGAUUUCGGCGACGACGACAUAGGAGCGUGAUGCCGAUGGUGGCCGACUUCUGGGGCGUGGAAAUACGUGGUGCAGGUCUGAGGGCUUGUGCGGCUUCGACAAGACUAUGGCGCAGGGUUGAUUCAAGGAAGUGUACACAUGAGAGCUUGAAGUCGACAGGGCGCGGGGUAGCACGGCCAGCUACAUGGAGUCAUGUUGAAGGUGGAGCUGGAGUCUAACGUAAGACUUCAAUCUGUGCUGAUGGAGGGGCUACGGUGUAAGAUAUCGGAGAAUCGAAGCCUAUUUCAGUGGGAUAGCGAGAGACACGUGGAUCGGACUGGGGCCCAAUGGUCUGAUGGAGACGUGAUACUUGACAUCGGUCGGUGAUGAUCGGUGGUUCUCUGCAGUGGGGGUUGAGGCAGUGUGGGCUAGCUACCCGGGAGACUCGACAAGGACAGCAGAGGCUUGACGCGGUGAUAGCGGCGAGGCGUGCGGUAAGCACGGGACACAGCGACGGACCAAGGCACUAAUGGUGAGACGUGUGGUCAGACAAAGUGUGCAGGGGGUGCUGAAGCAGUGUUGACGAGUACCGGAUUCAAGUUGGUGACUGGGUCUAUCGGUGCUAGUUGAUGGACAGGAGUUGACCAUGGAGAAUCUGAGAAAGUGGCGGAAAGUCUGGAUUUGUCAAAACAGAGAGAGUACAUGGCCGUAGAUUCUGUGGUGUUCGGUGCACAUGGCAAAGUGCGGAUGACAAUACAGAUGGAGGCGGAGUGCUAUAGUUGUGGGACAUGUCAGAGACUAUCUGGGGAAAAGGGUGGGACAACUGUGAAUUUGACUCAAAGUGACAUAGGGCGAUGGUGAAAUUCCUUCAAGUUUCAGACAGACGAUCAUGAAAGAGCGGUGAUGUUGAGUUCAGGUAACUCUUAUAUGUGACACCCAAUAUGUGAGUUGUUCAUUUUCACGCAGAUUAAUGAUCAGUGUGUGAUGGCGUUGAGCGGAUACUCUGAAAGUUGGGAGCACAAAGUAGAGUAACGAAAAACUUAAUUUUUGCUCGAGUGUUGACUGUGAUGAAGACGAGAAGGGACUACAGUUGCAGGUGGAGUCACAUGGAGUCUGGAAGUAGCAGCGGUGCUCAUGGCGUAUCUCAAGUCCAAUAUACAUGGAGGUUCGACGCAUGAAUAAAUUCAAGGUGGUGGAGAAUAUUCGCCAAGGUGGAGUUUGUUAGAAUUGUGUCGAAUAUUAUUAUACAAGGUAGGUUACAGUUGGACUUGGUUUUGGACUGUGUGUAGACAGAAUAGGAGUUGUGUCCUAAUAGGACACUUGUAUCCUAGACCUCUCAUAUAUAUCGGGGAUAGACACACGAUGUAACCUAUGCCAACAUAAUAGCACGGGCACGCGGGGGAGCCGGCGGCGUGUGCCGGCGCCCGGGCGACCGGGGUGCGGUAUUGUAGUGGUGUCAUGGGGAGGAGCGCCCGUAGUCAUGCCCCGGGGAUGUAGCCAUAUCAGUGAACCUCGUUAACAAAUCUCAGUGUCGUGCUGGUGUGAUUUCUUGAUUCUCGAUAGACCGACGAAACGACUCGGAUUUAUUCUAACAACGAUUAGGGAUGAACCCCACUCUGAAUUUCCCGGUGGGGGCAGGGAUUGUUAUCAACGAAGGGGCACCAUUCUCCUCGUAAUAGGCUUGUUAGGCUUGAGAUCCUCUGCAAUACCAUACGGUGUUAUAGUACGGAUGACAUAUGGGUUCAGGUCUCAUAUGGCAGUGACUGUACUACAUCGUAUAGUACCGUAGAGGAUCCUAACCCCUCUUAACAACCCGGUACGUCUAGGAUUACUCUUACCUAGGGGAUGAGUCCCACNNNNNNNNNNNNNNNNNNNNNNNNNNNNNNNNNNNNNNNNNNNNNNNNNNNNNNNNNNNNNNNNNNNNNNNNNNNNNNNNNNNNNNNNNNNNNNNNNNNNNNNNNNNNNNNNNNNNNNNNNNNNNNNNNNNNNNNNNNNNNNNNNNNNNNNNNNNNNNNNNNNNNNNNNNNNNNNNNNNNNNNNNNNNNNNNNNNNNNNNNNNNNNNNNNNNNNNNNNNNNNNNNNNNNNNNNNNNNNNNNNNNNNNNNNNNNNNNNNNNNNNNNNNNNNNNNNNNNNNNNNNNNNNNNNNNNNNNNNNNNNNNNNNNNNNNNNNNNNNNNNNNNNNNNNNNNNNNNNNNNNNNNNNNNNNNNNNNNNNNNNNNNNNNNNNNNNNNNNNNNNNNNNNNNNNNNNNNNNNNNNNNNNNNNNNNNNNNNNNNNNNNNNNNNNNNNNNNNGCUUAAGAUUACUUAGGGGAUGAGCACCACUCUUAAAUUCAUGCCGGGUGGGGUUAUUAACGAAGGGGCACCACUCUACCGUAACAACCCUGCACGUCUAGGAUUAUCGUAUAGGAAUCGGGGAACGUGUAAUACAUAGUUGUUCGUGUGCUUCAAUUUUUUCUUAACAUCGAGUAAAAAAAGUUUUCACAUAAAAUAAUCGAGCAUGUACACUCUUCUUGUGAAAUUUUGCGUGAAGUACCUACUUCAUGCCAAAUUUCCCAAGAGUGUACAUCUUCACUCCGUGUACAAGUGUAAUUAAGUAGGAUCGACAGUUUUUUUUUUUGAGAAAGAUCCUUGCCUUUGCAUUCCGUGUGCUCCAUUUUUCUCCUAACAUUGAAAAAGAGUUUUCUCGUAAAAUUAUAGAGCACGGGUCACUUCAUGCCAAAAUGUCACAAGACAAGUGUACAUCUUCAUUCCGUGUACAAGUGUAGAGGGUUGAUAGUAAUUCACCUUGCCUUUGCAUUAGAAAUUGAGGAUUCAACCGUCGUCACAUAUGUAGAAUUGUAGAUGCAUGCAUGAUUCGCUGCUGCACAUACUUUGAAUUUGAAAUACAUGUUUCAAGUGCUGGUAUGAUAAUCGGUACUGGCCACUGCUUCUGGGGCUUAUUCGUCGACGUAUCGUUCUGGCGAGCUGCCGACGUGUAGCCGUAGGUCAAUCACGAGUUCACCUUGGAGCAGCUGAGCCUGAUCUGGCCCUGCGUCCCGGUGAGCGGCGCGAUGUUUCCCAUCUUGAUCAUGGCCGUCGUGAAGGCGCUGCUGAAGGCCGCCGCGUUGGACGCAAAGUUGCGGACAGUGUUGUCGGUGGUGUCGUUGUUGAAGAGCACCUGGUCCGAGUGCAGGAGCCCUUUCUGUGACAGGAGGUUGGUGUAGUAGGCAUUGUCGAACGCAUUGGGCGUCAUCGUGUCCAGGUUCGCCAGGUUGGUGUUGCCGCCGGACUGGGGGCAGUUGGCCUUGAGAGACGUCGCGAAGGCAGUGUUGAUGUUGGUGUCACCGCCAUAGAUCCGAGUCCGGAAGUUGGAGCACUGGGCCUUCCCGAUGGUGUGCGCGCCUGAGAGCGCGACC